ACUGCUUCUCGCUCCCGCUCUGAACUUAACGCUGCAAAAAAAAUCUUGGAGUGUAUAACUGUGUAAGCUUUGCUCAAUGGCGGAGGAGAACAAGUCCGGCUCCGGCGACCUGAUGGCGAGCGGCAAGGUGGUCGCGGAGGCGACCAUGUCGGUGUUCCAGCAGAAGAGCGUGGAGGGCGUCGACAAGAAGGAGGUCGCCGGCGCCGCCGCGGACCUGCUGCACUCGGCGUCCACCUACGGCAAGCUCGACGACAAGCCGGUCGGGCAGUACAUCGACAAGGCGGAGGGGUACCUCAAGGACUUCAGCUCCGGCAGUGGCGGCGCCGCACCGCCACCGCCGGCAGCCGGAGACGCCGCAGCGCCGAAGCCAGCGGCGGAGGAGCCGCCCAAGGAGCCUGCGCCGGCUGAGAAGGAGGAAGGCAAGCCACCGUCGUCGUCGGAAGGGUUCGGUCUCGACGACGUCAUGAAGGGGGCCGAGUCGCUGAUGGAGAAGAAGGGCGGCGGGGAGGAGAGCGCCGGCAGCGGCGGCGCCGCCGGUGGGCUGUUCAAGAUGGCGCAGGGUUUCAUGAAGUAGGAGAGCUCUUUGGCUGGAUAUAUAGCUGCAUGCAUGCUUGUCUCUGGAUUGUGGCUCUGCUUUAAUUUGCUUGUUAAUUAACUGAUGAUCUGUAUGAUGUUUUGUAAAUGUCUCUCAGCUCUGUUGUUAAUUUUGUGUGGUGAAUAAUAAGAAGACAGCUACUUUGUGUGUAUAAAGCCUGUUUUUCUCCGUGAAUAAACUAAUUCUAAUCUACUAAUUAAUUCAUUCACUACUUAAUAUUCUUAUGAUAGUUCAAGACUUAUGGGGAGACGAGAUGGAUAAAUUAUGUGGCUAUGUUUUUGUUUGGGCUGUUGCCAAUGUCAAACUUGUCAAACAUAUCGGUAUACUAGAGAUUUAGUAGUACCUCAAAAUAGAGAAAAAAAAUUGUUAUGGUACAUCCAAAAUUUACAAUCUUUAAUAAUGGACUAGAAUUGAAACCUCCAAUAAAAUACUAAUUUUUUUCUCCCAAAAAGUCGAUAGCUUCGAGCUUCAAUCCCUCUACUAUUUAUACCCACAACGUGGCUGCCCCUAGCCACGAAUCCAACUAGAACUAGGACUCCUAAUCACAUAGGAAACCUACCAAACCAGGGAAACAACAUCCCCAUACAAUUCCACGUUCCAAUCUUUUCAAACUUGGACUCCAAUCCAAAUUUGACUACUCUUUCCAUACGCACACAACACAACAUGUAUGUCAUAUGGAAACCUUCACCUCCACGUGCAUUGUUCUCUAAUCCGAGCAUCAUGUGUGACAUCCUAGCCUAGGGUUUAAUAUGAUUAAUAGAAUACCCAUAACAAUAAGUUACGACUUCUUUUUCAGAAGCCAAUCACCAAAGAACUUUGAGGUUAAGCGUGCUUGGCGCAAUUUUGGGAUGUGUGACCGCUUAAUAGGAUUAAUAGAAUACCCAUACUAACAAGUUGAAAAUUUUUCCCGGGUGCGCACGAGUAAAGACAAAGUGGGUGACCGCUUAAUAGGAUUAAUAGAACACUCAUACCAACAGGCUGAAAAUUCUUCCCGGGUGCGCAUGAGUGAGGACAAAGUAUGUGAGGGCAGUCUAUAUCCUAGAAAAACUAUCAGAUGUAAGUGGGCCUGGCCUGGGAGAGGUUCUACGAAAACAACGCGAAACUUUUUCCCUGGUGCGCACGAGUGAGGACAAAGUGUGUGAGGGCAGUCUAUAUCCUGGAAAAGCUAUCAGAUGUAAGUGGGCCCGGCCUGGGAGACAUUCUACGAAAACAACGCGAAACUGAUGUGAGAAAUUCUACGAAAACAACACGAAACUGACUCACAUCAGGAGUUUGCCGGUCUGACCAUUGGGCUACCCGGUCAAGCACUAACACCACCGGUUUGACUGGCCACUAGAGCCGACAACCGAAAACACAUCACACUGCAUUUUCACCAAACAAUUGUUCAUCACCAGGAUUAAUCAUCACAUGAUUUUAUAUUGGCCUCUCCAUCACUCAUAUAGAUUCAUUAGCAUCUAUAUGAAUUUGGAGAUAUAUACAAAGGACAUAAUGGAUCCAUGCAAGAAAUUAUUCCAAAUCCAAAACAUGUUUGUUGUCGAAACGACGACCGCAUACGUCGAAAGACGUGGUUACUCAACAGUGGUUGGAAAAACGAAGUGUAUUAAAUUUUGAAUUUCCCUUGGGAUCUUCCCCCGUUACAUGGCCCUAGGGGGCUAUUUAUAUCCCCAUUACAGGUUCUUACUACUAGGGUUUAGGUUAUACAGGGGAAUUUACAUGAUUACCCUUAUGAAAGGGACAUUUACAGGGGUACAUGAUGAUAUAGGGGCUCAUGGGCCCUUGAUGGGCCGUCUGGCGAUCGCCGGCCCUAUUGCCCCUAGGCUUGAUGGGCCGGAAAGGCUUCUUUGGCCCUCGCGGGGGCAAACUUGCCAAGGCGAAGUCAUCUUCCUUCGGCAGAUAGUCUUCGCCUUGCACCCUUGGCCUGAGACACCUCUGGCCUGGCAAGGCACUUCGCACGACUCUUCGCCUCACGCCGUUCUUGCUCCAUAGCCUUCGCCAUGGGUUUCGGCAGAUUUGGUCGAAGGGCCUCAUGCCAUCCGCCAACAAGCCCCUCACGGGCAAGGGUGAGAUUGGAGCUUCGGCCGAGACCGUGCAAACCAUGUGGUAUGGUAUGCGGCGCCCCCUUUCGACCGAUUCUCCUGCCGAAACCUACACUAUUCCUGCGAAUGAAGUUUGUUAUUUGUGCGGCUGGUAUUAUUUUGCCGCUCUUCGCCUCCUGCGUUUGGUUGCAUAUUCAUAUAUAUAUAUAUAUAUAUAUAUAUAGGACACUCAUAUGGGGCACCAUGGUGCCCGGGCACCAUGGUGCCCGGGCACCAUGGUUUCAAAUGCACAAAAUCACUCAAAUUUUUCAAAAUUUUCAAAUUGUGAGUAUAUACCUAGUUAUAAGAAUUCGAUUCAUACCUAUACCUAUCAACAAAACAACUCAAAUUUAACUUUAUUUCACAAUCCAUGAUUACAUACCUAACUAAUUAUAUGUAUGGAUGCUAUAUACCUAGAAUCAAAAUCUAACAAAAACAAGUUCAAAUUCAGUUCAAACUUGCUUUCAACUAGUUAGUAAUGUAGUUAAUAUUAAUACCUAAAUAAUUGAAAAAGUUUCAUGCUCAUUUGAAUUGGGUAUAUACUCAAUUUCAACAAUGGUGCCCGGGCACCAUGGAGCACCAAACAAAUUUACUAUAUAUAUAUAUGUAUAUAUAUAUAUAUAUAUAUAUUAUAUAUAUUUUUUUAUAUAUAUAUUUUCUUUUCCUGGGCCGAAAGGAACAGUAUUGGGCUUUCCCUUCGUGGGCUUUUACUGCGCCGCUUGGACGGUGGGAAGUUACCGUUUCGCCUACCCUUGCGACACGUGGCGCUUUAUUACUGGUGGGUAGGCGAACGGUCGCCCGAGUGAGCUAUAUAUUCCCACCGACCUUUCCUUUUCACCGCCACACUUGCCAUUUUACCGCGUGCGCUCUCUUCCUCCGUUUCUUUCUUCCACAGCAUCUCUCGACCCCUCAAGUGUUUCGCCCAUUCUCUUUCUUCGCCACCGCAAACGCACCGUUCACCAUGGCCCCUCGCAAGCCAAACCGUGCUUCGGCUAAAGGGCCGGAUCCCGGCCGAGUCGAUGACGACAGCACCGCCUUUCUGGGGGUCUCUCUUGUGGACGACGUCGAGCUGGCGAAGCUGGUCCGCUCUGGGGCGUUGGUUGAGGGGCAGGCUUUCGCCCCAGGGAAAGCCGUGGUGCCGAAACCUAUCGACAAUCGGACGGUGGUAUUCGCCGUCUUUUUUGAGGCUGGGCUACGGUUCCCCUGCAACGUGUUGUUGCCGGAGAUCCUUCGCCUCUUCCAGGUGGAACUUCCACAGCUGAGCCCAUCGGCGCUUGUUUGGGUCGCUAUCUUCGACUGGGCGCGCCGGACUUCCGGGUUUGAGCCUAACGCCGAGCUCUUCGGCGCCAUAUUUUUCGCCACCGUGAACUCGAAAACGGUGAUUACCCCGGCUCGAACGAAGAAGACAGUGUUCGGGAGUGUGAAUUCAACGUUCGUCCCGAGCGGUUCGAUCUUUGGCCAGUGAACGCUGUCAUGUCGAAGUGGGACCGCCAUUGGAUAGCCAGGUGCUUCUAUCAUUCCAUCCCCUUCGAGGCUAGUUCUGACGCGGCGAAAGCCCUCCGGUGCCGGCGUAGGGCGAUCGCACCGAACUGGAAACCCAAGAUCGCCGUGGACGGCACUAUGGAGGCUCGGUUCGUUCUGCUGCGCAAGGUUUGCUCCCGCCUUAGCUGCCGUGACUUGGUGGAGGAAUUCUGUAUGCUUCGCAUCUUUCCCCUCUCCCAGUCAUGGCAAGUCACGGUUGAUCAAGGCGAAGAGGUCGACGGUUUGCCGAACCUGAUACUUCCUGAGGGGGCGAACAGUAAGACUGUUCUUUUGCUAUAUACUACUGUGCUUUGUUAUUUCGCCUUAUCUGACUUUUGACAUAGCCUCACACUCUAAUUUUGCAGUGUUGAUCCUUGACCAGGUUGAAACCGAAGCCCGCAGGAUGAUCGGCGAUGUGUCAAUCGUUGAGUAUAGCCAGCUGCUAACACGACAAGCGGCUGGGCGGGCGAACCGGGUUUACAACGGCGAAUUGCCUCCUCGAGCAAACCCCCACAAAGCCGACGAUGAUGCAGGGCCUUCACGGAAGCGAAUGCGCGGACAAGUGAAGCUUGCCCCCAGGAAACGAAGGGCUCCUGCUUCGUCGGACUCCGAUGCCGACGACGAGGACGAUGCCGAAGAACGCGACGGCGAGGGGGAAGCAGAGGAGGAGGAGGAGGCCGUGGCCGAUAAGGCCGCGAACGAGGCGGUCGGAGACCGCGUCGACACCCUCGGCUACACUCCUACCCCAAGUCCAGGUCCCAACGAGACCGGGGUGGAGUCGAACAGCUCCCCCCUUCGACGGAAGGAUUUGGAAGGGGCGAAGGCCCUAGUUGCGUUCUCCUCAGGCAAGGCAGCGAAGGGAGGUCCGGUGCAGAAGAUCUCUAAAAAGGAAAGACUCGUCGACAUCGCCCGCGUUUUCAGCGACGACGAAUCUUCUGACGGGACUCCAACUUCGCCCGCUGGCCGCAGUUUAGACCUUUCGACUGCUCCCCUCGCUCCGCUCAGCGUUGCUGGGGCAGGCGGUAAUGCCGCCGCCGGGGCUUCAGCCUCCGCCGAACGGAUCGUGUCGGCUGCGGCGAGGGUCUUCGGGAGCCCUCUGCGUGAGCCAGCUAUUUCGCCGCUAGUCAAGGCGAAGGGGAAGUGUGCGGCCGCCGAAGCAUCUGUCUCUGAGUAUUCCCUUGCGGCGCCCCACUUCGCCCCUGGUGAUUUCGAGACUCGGGCGAACCUUGUUCCCUUUGUGGAGGGAGUGAGCAACCUUGUCUUGCCCGUCGGCACCCCGAGCUUGUUCACCGAACUUAAUGAGUUCGACGAGGGGUGUUCCGCCAUUAAAAGCCUAGCGGUUCGGGUACGCCUUUUCUUCCUUCUUCGUUUUCCUCUUCGUCCCCCCUUUUUUUUACGUCUGACAAUUAACCUUUUGUUCUUUUGGCCCGCUCCUAUCUUUCAUCUAGAUUCUUGCGGCUCACUGUUUGACGGAGCGAACCGUACGGGCCCGUUUUGACGGUUUUAAGAGCCGUCUUUGGGCCAAGGACGACGAAAUAAGCCGCAAGAACCUGGAGGUGGAGGCCCUGACCAACACCCUCAAGGAAACGAAGACCGAGGUCAAACGCCUUCAGUCUGAGCUGGAUAAGGGGAAAGAGGCCAGGGCUGAGGUUGAUCGCCUCAAGGCCGAACUGGAGAAGGAGAAGGCCCAUUCGACAGUGUUGAUUGACUACUACAACCUUACUGAGCCGAAGAUGGAGGCUCUUCGCCUGAAGGCUAGUACGGCCGAAGCGAGCGCCGCGGAGGAGUCGCAGCGGUUUUCACAGGAGAUGGCGAAGACCACCGAAUCCGCGAGAACUGCUUGUCAAACGCUCCGCCUCGCCCUUACCGACAUGGGCGCGAAAGUGCGAGGGGUUCCUGCCGAGGAUGCAUCAGCCUUCGACUUCUCCGAGUGGACCCAGCAGGCUGGCGGAUCGGUUUCGGACUGCGCCAUCGCGUACGGCGAUUGCUGUGCGCGUGUAUCAGCGGCCUUCACCUUAGGCCUUUUGCAACAUUUUGGCUACGAGCACGUCGCCGAGUUCCCUACCUAUGCGAAGGGGGACUGGGAGAUUAGUGCGCAGAACAUUUCGCCCGCUCUUCACGCGUGGCGAAAACAGUUUUGGCAGAAGGACGGCCGGUCCGCUGCCAAGGCGCGCCUUCUGGAGCAACUAGCGAAGGCGGAGGCGGCAGACCGGCGCGAAGGAGAGGACGCAGCGGGCGAAGAGGGUGGAGGCAAUGCCCAGGAUCACCCAGAGGUGUGAGGCCCUCCGCCCUUUCCUUAGAUUUUUGUAGUUUUCCUCCAUCUUUUGCAUUUGCCUGGAGAGGCGAAUGAUGUACAUUCGGCAGGCUGCCGCCAAACCUUAAAAGAGGCUUUUCUGUAUAUUUGGAAUAUAUGACACCAUCCUAAUUACUUUUUGAUGAUCGAAGUCUUUGGCGUAUUAUUAUCUUGCCCAUUUCGCUUUAUGCCACACCUUCCCUUUCCUUCGCCUAUUCUUACUAUGUAAACUGUGUUUUGCCUUUUCUGCACUGUCUAACAGGGGGUUCGCCGAAAGUCGUGCAUUCAGCCCCCUUCCGGGAGCUGGCAAAGUCGAAACGAGAAAUUUGUGGCAUUGAAGGGUCUGCCGAAGGUGCGAUGUCCAUUUCGGCCUGUUUAUCGCGAAAUGGAGAUAAACGGUCGCAGCUACAAGGUUUUCAAGGUUGCCAACUGGCUGCGGGCGCACCCCGGGCGAACCUUAGAAGAUUACGAUCUUGUUCAUUCAAGACGUUUGGAGGAUAUGGCUCGCUUUUGGCGAAACCAUCAGAAGACUAAACGUCAGGAAAUGAUCUUUCAGCGUCGUUAUAGUUUAGUCUGUGUUUCGCCGCCUACUACUCUUAAGGUUGUGUAUGAUAUUAGUAGUGAAGACGAACCUAGUUCGCCUGUCCAUUCCUUAGGGAGGGAUAGUGAUUAUGGGGGCGAAGAUGUAAUUUACUUGUAAGGUGAAUUGUAUCGUGUUGUAAACCUUCUAUUCUUCGAUUAUUUUUUCGAAGUUAAUAAAGAUGUGUUUUAUUUCCUUUUCGCUAUUCUUUCGCAUCGUCACAUUCCGUGCUUUUGUUAGGUCGGAACAUGUCGGCCCCUUUGCGUAUAUUAGCGAAAUAGGUGUACUGAUUUUUCAGCUUUUCGUCGUUCAUUUUCGAUCUAUAGCAUUCUGUGUUGAAAGAAACGCUUUUGCUUUUAUGUCGAUCGAACGUAACGCCGUUCGGCUAGUUAGGACACAGAGGUUUUAUACUGGUUUGGGCCUCCAUGGUGGAUAAUAGCCCUACAUCCAGUUUUUUUUUUCUUUUUGCACUCUUUCUUCUUUUUUUUUCUUGCCGAAAGGCUUUCAUAGUGCCAAAGGGCUUACAUAGUGCCGAAGGGCUUACAUGACAGUAUGUACAUUUUUACAAGUUGGCGAUUUGGGUGCCACCCAUUCUAGACAUAGAAGCGCUUGAGAGAGGUGGCGUUCCAGGAAUGGUCGAACUCCUCGCCUUUGAGUGUCGUUAGGCAAAAAGAUCCCGUCCUAGACUUGUGUUUGAUGAGGUAUGGUCCUUCCCACUUUGAUUCAAGCAUGCCAACCGCUACUGGGUUCGCCUUCUUCCUUAGGACGAGAUGACCAGGCAUCAGCUCCAUGGGUCGAACUUUUUUGUUGUAAGUUGCCGAAGUGCUUGUGGCAUACUUGUGCAUGUGCUCCAGCGCUUCGACUCUUACUCCUUCCAAGAGUUUGAGCGAUACUUCGCGUCCCUCUUCGCCCCCAGAGAACAUCACCCUUGGUGAGUUAGCCCCUAGCUCUGCUGGGGUCAUUGCCUCAUCGCCAUAAAGAAGCAUAAACGGGCUAAACUUGGUUGGUCUUGUGGGGGUCGUUCGAAGGGCCCAGAGAACCGAUAGCAAUUCCUCUGGCCAUUUGCCUUUCGCUGCCCCCUCGAGUCUUUUCUUUAGUGCUUCUAGGAUCUUGCCAUUUGUACGUUCGGCCGCCCCAUUUGACUGCGGGUGUGCGACCGACGCGAACCUGAUUUCCAGGUUAAGCCCUUCGCACAUUUCUCUGGACUUAUCAGAGUCAAACUGCUUGCCGUUGUCAGUAAUGAAUUCUUUUGGCACUCUGAAACGACAAACAAUGUUCUUCCAUACAAACUUCUGUACUAUUGCCGAAGUUAUUGCCCCAAGGGGUUCGGCCUCAAUCCAUCGAGAGAAAUAUUCCAUAGCUACAAUUGCGAAUUUAUACCCGUUUCGCGCCACCGGGAACGGCUCAAUGAUAUCCAGUCCCCAUCUGGCGAAGGGCCAUAUUGGCGCAAUGGGCUGCAGAUCAUAUUGGGGCGCGGCUUGGCUUCGGCCAUGAUGCUGGCAACUUUCGCACUUCUUGAUUUGCUUAACACAGACUUUCAACACAGUGGGCCAAUAAACUCCUUGUCUAAAUACUUUGGAGGCCACUGUUCUUGUAGCCUGGUGCGCGCCACAUAGCCCCUGGUGUAUCUCAUUUGCCAUUUCUUCGCCUUCGGCAAAAGAGAUGCAACGAAAUAAGGGUUGAAGUACCCCAGAGCAGUAAAGCUGACCCGAGACCAUCUUAUACUUCAUGGCUCUGAGUUGCAAACGCUUCGCUUCUGCUUCGUCUACCGGAAGCCAGCUAGUUUCAAGGUGUUUCGCAAAUGGAGUUCGCCAGUCACACGGGUCUUCGCCCAGUUUCUCCUGGUCGAUUGCCAUGACUUCCGAGCUGUCCAUGGGCACACUUGGAGCAUGUAGGACUUCGAAAAAGAUGCCAGGCGAAUGUGGGCCACCACAAGCAGCAGAUUUCGUCAAGGCGUCUGCUUCCUCGUUCUGGUCUCUAGGCAAGUGUUCGACCGUUAUGCCGGUGAAACAUUUUUCCAUGGACCGAACAGCCUCUAGAUACCUCUUCAUCCCCUUUUCUUUUGCCUCGAAGGAUUUGUCAACAUGGCCUGCUACCAACUUGGAGUCAGUUCGAAUUAGCAAGCGCCGGACUCCCAGUGCUUUCGCCUUUCUUAGGCCCAAGAGAACGGCUUCGUAUUCUGCUGCAUUGUUGGUUGUGUCGAACUGCAGUCUUGCUGCGUACCGAAUCGGCACACCAUUCGGCGAGAAUAGGACUGCCGCAAUGCCUGGUCCCUUGUGCGACCACGAGCCGUCAGAGCACAUAACCCAGAAUUGUUCGGCGGGCUCGGGGUCGGGGGCAAGUACCGGUGUCCAUUCAGCUACGAAGUCGGCUAGCACUUGAGACUUGAUAGCAGAGCGUGCAACAAAAUGUAAGUCGAACGGGGAUAGUUCUGCCGCCCACUUGCUGAGCCGGCCAGUGACUUCCUUGCCUCGGAGUAUUUCGCCCAAGGGGUACUGUGAUGGCACUAUGACUUUGUGGGCCUGGAAGUAGUGCUUAAGCUUGCGCGAAGCCAUCACUAGGGCGUAAGCGAGCUUUUCCAUUUCAAUGUACCUUGUCUUCGCUCCUUGCAGUGCUUCGGAGACGAAGUAGACCGGUUUUUGUCCAAACUUUGUUUCUUGGACGAGGGCAGCACUGACUGCCACCGGCGAAGCUGCUAAGUAUAAUAGCAGUUCGCUUCCUGGGGGUGGGCUUAUCAGAGCUGGCGGGCUUUGCAAGUAUUGCUUUAGCUCGUCGAAUGCUGCUUGGCACUCUGGUGUCCAAUUAAACUUUCCUGCGCCCCGGAGGGUCUUGAAGAAGGGCAAACCUCUUUCGGCUGCCUUUGAGAGGAAUCGUCUGAGUGCCGCAAUUCGGCCUGCAAGCUUUUGUACUUCAUGUACGCUUCUCCGCCGAGAACUUGAACUGCUUCUCCGCCGAAACCGCGGAGCGAUGCUGGUGCUGGGGUAAGGGCUUGGGUAGGCAACCCCAUUUUGGCAUAUGCUUCGGCAAAGAUAACAUCGGCCGAACUCCCUCCGUCGACCAGGAUUCGUCGGACUUUGAAACCAGCUAUCUCAGCUGAGAUUACCAAGGGAUCUUGAUGCGGGAACAUAACUCCUUCUGCGUCUUCCGGCCCAAAAGAAAUUAGCUGGUUCAGAUAUUGCGGCGCCCCUUCACCCGCCGAAGUGAUGCUAUGGACCAUACGGAUCUGCAUCUUCUUCUGCCAUUUCGACAACUGGCUUGGCGGGUCAGCCCUUGUAAUCACUUAGAUUACCCUUCGCUGUACAUCUUGGCGUUGUUCGGCUGGGGGUGUUUGCUCUUGAACUGCUUCGCGGGGUGCUUCGACAGUUGUUCCCUGCUGAGGCCUUGAGUCUUGCGCGUUGCCACAUUGCCUAAUGUUUCGGCAUUGUUCCGUGGUGUGCGAAGAGCGUCCGUGAAAGGCGCAGUAGAGGUCUUUUCGGACCUUCUUGCGGGCUGGCUGCUGAUGGUUGCUCACUUGCUGGGCAUCGAACUCCUUGCGGAGGGCUUGCACUUCUUCGACCGCCAUCACAGCUUUGCCCGCACGGUCUGUUCUGAACUUUCUCCAAGUUAUGGGGGCUUGGCCUUGUCUCGGCGGCUGUCCUUGGAUCGCCGGCUGAGACUGGCGAACGAAGAGGGGAGGUUGUUCGGCAACUUGAACUUGUGCUUGAGCUUGAGCAGCGGCGACGGAGGCUUUGUCGUACUCAGCUUGUAUAGCUUGCCGUCGCUUGGAAUCCUCCUCGCCCCUUGCGAACCCGUCAAUGAUGCGAAGUAGGUGCUCGAGCGUCUGAGGCUCCUUGUUGGCGAUUUUUCAUGUGAGUUCGCCCUCGAGCAGACCGGCCGAAGCGGCGUUUAUAACCGACGCCUCGGUUAUGUCUUGAACUUGGCACCGGGCUUGUGAGAAGCGACGCAUGUACUCCCUUAUCGACUCCCCCUGCCUUUGGCUAAUGCCGAGUAGGUGUUGUUGCGUCUUCGGCUCCUCAUAGGUGCCUCGAAAGUUAAGGACAAAAACAUCGCGCAAUUGCUCCCAUGAGUAAAUGCUAUUGGCUGGUAAAUUGAAAUACCAAGAACGGGCGAUGCCGUCUAGAGCGAGAUGUAUUACCUUCGCUUUGGUAUUUUCAUCACCAUGAGCCACUUCGAUCGCUGACUCGUAGAUGGAGAGGAACUCCUUCGGGUCAGUUUCGCCUGAAUAGCACGGGACGGGUGGGAACUUGAACUGGGCUGGGAUUGGACGAGUCUUGAUUCCCCCACUCAGCGGUAGCCCCUUUUCGCCUCCCGCCCUGUUUACCGCACCCUGCUGCGGGUACGGUGUGGCGAAGGGCGAAAUCGCAGCUUGUACGCGAGGUUGGGCCAUGGCAUUCGGCUGCCCGGCUCCAACUGGAGGUACUUGCUGAGCCGCCAUGGAUGGGUCAAAAAUUGGCUGUGACCACGUCAUGGCAGCUUGGAUUGGUGCUUGGUUUGUUCCGAAGCCUGGAGUUGGAGCUUGCUGCCGAACGGUUGGUGCCUGGACAGCGUUGACGAAGUCGAACUGCGGUCCUUGAUUCCACAGCGAAACUCCCAGGCCCGGCUGAAUCGGUGGCAACCAAUUAGGCGCACCUUGACUUGUAUUCCCCUCCGGGUGGGCCGAUGGGGUUGUACUUGAAAUACAGUGGGGUUGGUUGAGUUGCUGAAGAAAAGCUUGGAGUUGCGCCUGCAGAGCCGAAGCCCCUUCCGCCACUAUUUUUGGCGCUUGGCCGGGUGGUUGAUGGUGUACUUGGGCAGCGACUGCGGCCGAUUGCUGCCCGGCGAAGUACAUUGGCGCUUGUGCGACUUGAGGCGGAUAGGGCUAGGUCGUCACUUGCGGAUGGACUUGAGGCGGGACAUAACCUGCCGAAUACUGAAGGAUUGGAGCCGACGUGACCUUGGUCCGCCUUGCCGCCUCGUAUGCUUGUUGUUGUUCUUGCAUUUGGCGAAGCAUGUCUUGGAGCCGUGUCAUGUUCUGUCGCAUGGCUUCCAUGUCGGCUUCGGCUUGUGUCUCAGGGUCAGGGCUGACAUGGGCCUGCAUAGCGGCGAGCGCAGUCGGGGCUGCCGCCGGCUGCGAUGGAGUGGCUUGGGGCACCACUAGUUGGCUUGUCGAAAGGAUCUCCGCCCUGGUCUGGAGUGCCCUUGCCACAGCAGCCGCCUUCGCCACGUCGGCCGCGUUCGGCACUUGCACAGAGGCGGCAGGGGCCGAAGGCGUUUGAGAUGGCGCAGAUGUGGAAGCAGAUGGUCCUCCUCCAUCUUCGGCCACUGGCGCCGAAUGCUCUGCUCCCUCCUCGGCGGCCAUGUCCGGUGCGGCGUUGCUUUCCUUCCGCCUUGCAACCUUCUCCUUCACGACCUUCUUCGGUGGCAUUCACUCUCAGUGGUUUCGCUCGGAGGUCCCCACGGUCGGCGCCAGCUGUUGUCGAAACGACAACCGCAUACGUCGAAAGACGUGGUUACUCAACAGUGGUUAGAAAAACGAAGUGUAUUAAAUUUUGAAUUUCCCUUGGGAUCUUCCCCCGUUACAUGGUCCUAGGGGGCUAUUUAUAUCCCCAUUACAGGUUCUUACUACUAGGGUUUAGGUUAUACAGGGGAAUUUACAUGAUUACCCUUAUGAAAGGGACAUUUACAGGGGUACAUGAUGAUAUAGGGGCUCAUGGGCCCCUGAUGGGCCGUCUGGCGAUCGCCGGCCCUAUUGCCCCUAGGCUUGAUGGGCCGGAAAGGCUUCUUUGGCCCUCGUGGGGGCGAACUUGCCAAGGCGAAGUCGUCUUCCUUCGGCAGAUAGUCUUCGCCUUGCACCCUUUGCCUGAGACGCCUCUGGCCUGGCAAGGCACUUCGCACGACUCUUCGCCUCACGCCGUUCUUGCUCCAUAGCCUUCGCCAUGGGUUUCGGCAGAUUUGGUCGAAGGGCCUCAUGCCAUCCGCCAACAAUGUUAUAAUAUGAAACAGAGAAGUACAACACACCGCACCAUUAUUUUAUUAUCUCUUGCCAAUUUUGUAAGAAAAAUAUUUUGAAAAGACAAAAUGACCCUGCUCAUAAGGUAUUUUGUACAAGCAGACCCACAUGUUGGUCACAUAGAGAGCAAGUCGAUGGGCCCCGCCUAUCAGGAGCUAGCGGCUAGAGUGCAUGAUGUUGUGGGCAUGACCUAGGCAAACUGGUGGCGAGGCAAGGACAUAGGAUAGCACGCGGAUGGUGGUUGUGGGACGAGAAGUUGGAUCCUGACGAAUCGCCUUGUGAACUAGUUUCUCAAAAUCAGUAUAGUCUGCAGAGAUCAGCUGAUCGGUCAGUUCAUCAUCAAAACUAGACAUGAACUUCUCCUACCUCUCAGCAUUGGUGUGCAGGUCGUUAGGGACGUAGUGCGCAAGGCGGUUGAACUCAUGCAGAUACUAUGUAUCUGUCAUGUCUCCUUGAUGCAGUGCACGAAACUUCCUCUUCUUUUGUGCACGGGACUUCCUCUUCUUUUGCACCACUAUUCCAUCGAGAACUUGCGCCUUCCUGAAACUGCACCGGAACUCUGCUCAAGUGACUUCUCUUCCUGCUGGGCGGGUAAACAUGUAGUUGUCCCACCAAGCAAAAGCGAGGCCCUAGAGCUGGUGGGUAGCGAAGGCAAUCUUCUCCUGGUCAUUACACUGCGGAAGAUUCAACUUCUUCUCAAUGGGAUGAGGCUAGUCAUUGGCUUAUAAUGUAGGGACAUUCAACUUUCGGAAUUGCUUAAAACCGUCGCAUGUUUUUUUGGGGAAAAAACUUUCAAAUGUAACUAUAGUAUAGUCGUAGUGUAACUACAAACUCUAUAUAAGUUAGAUAUAAAGUUGCAUAUAUUAUUUUAAUACUUAUAUACAAGUUAUAUAAUAGUUAUAGUGGAAUUAUAUUACAAUUAUACUAUAGUUAGAUUUGAAAGUUUUACCAAAAAAACUUGCGACAGUUUUUCUAGGUAGUUUGACUUAUUGCCACAUUUAAGAUGUUGCAAGUAAGGCUUUGCCACUCAAUCUAUGACAUAUGGGCCCUUAUGCAUUUAUGGUAGGGGCAAUUUCGUUUUUAUCCUACUUUGAUGUCUAAUAUUGAUUUUACCCCUAUUUUUUAGAGUUUUCAUUUUUACCCUCACUUUUUUUAACUGAAUGCUUGUUUUUCCCCUACUUUGGAUGGUGAAGUUAAUAGUGUUAAGUAAUUGAUAAAAUGAUAUUUAUACCCUCUCAUGUAUAUACAUUAAUUAUGUUUUUGUCCCCAUUUUAUACACGUAGCUUUGGAACUUUAUUUUUGGAAGUAUAUUUAAAAUUAGAUGACGCACAUUGACUAAUAUAACAAUUUGGACAGAUUCUGAAUUUGAUGGAAUUUUGACAAAAUUUCAGUAUUUUGAUAGAACUUAAACAAAAUUUUGACAACAUUUUGUAAAAUGUAAUUAUAUGUUCCCUUUAGAUAUUAGUCAAUGUGUUUCAUUUAAUUUUAAAUAUACUCACAAAAAUAAAGUUCUAAAGCUACAUGCAUAAAAUGGGGACAAAAACACAAUUAAUGAAUAUACAUGAAAGGGUAUAAAUGUCAUUUUGUCAAUUACUUAACACCGUUAAUUUCACCAUCCAAAGUAGGAGCAAAACAGGCAUUCAGUUCAAAAAAAAAGGUGAGGGUAAAAACGAAAACACUAAAAUGUAGGUAUAAAAUCAAUAUUAGACAUUAAAAUAGGGGCAGAAACAAAAUUGCCCCUUUAUGGUAUAUAUUAGUUUAGUGGUAAAUUCUUAAUUACUACUCCCUCCGUUUCGAGUUAUAAGACUUUCUAACAUUGUCCAUAUUUAUAUAGAUGUUAAUGAAUCUAGGCUUAUAUAGAUGUUAAUGAAUCUAGGCACACAUAUAUAUCUAGUUUCAUUAGCAUAUAGUAUAUGAAUAUGGGCAAUGCUGAAAAUUCUUAUAUAAUAUAAAACGGAGGAAGUAUUUAUAAAAAUAGCAAAUAGUUAAAUAUCUCUGCAAUAUGGGGCAUGCGACAAUUUACUAACUAUAUUUGGUGGUAAACUAUGGAAAUCAUCCAAACAGCCCAAAAAUCUCCCGUCUCGGCGUCUCGGCUCCUCCGCUCCUUGCGCCAUCUCGCGGCUGAACAGGCGAGGGGAGGGCGCGCCGAUCUCCAUCCGGCGAGCAGGGGAGGGGAGGGUCGCUGAUCUCCAUCUGGCGAGUAGAGCAGGCGAGGGGAGGGGAGGGGAUCCGGUGAGCAUCCACAUCCUCUUUCUGGUUCAUCUCUCUCUCCCACCGGGACUACUUUUGCCUGGAAUUUGCUUGCGUUUCGUUAACCCUAGCUUCUCUUCUAGAUCUGGAAGAAGCCCUUCUCUUAAUUUCAGAGACUUGAACCUUAAUACAAGUGACAGUUUGUUCAUUCCCCCAAAAGUUUGGGGGUUCAACUGAGCCCCCAUGUCCCAAGUUGGAUCCGCCCCUGCCUUCAAGUAGGUCAGGAUGGCGCUUAAAUUCACUUCUGGCCUUUGUGUGUCAAUAGAUAUGCCAUGCCAUACUAGUAUUAUUGAAGAAUAAAGUCAAAAAUAAUUAUCUAUAACUUGCUUGAUGUUUUUUUGUUUCUGAUCUCCUAACUAAAAUUUCAUGGGCUUUCAUCUAUUCUGACAUGGACCAUACAUGAACAAGUUCUUUCGUUACCUAUCUGUAUAUGACAUCUUAAGUGUAAGAAGAUCCAAAUACUGGUAUAGGACUGGAUGAAGAUGUAGUGUUUUGAAAAAGUCAGCUGCCGAUUGCUGAAGGGUGCUUGUUUCCUGAAUUAUUCAUUUGAUUAAUUGAUUUUGCCUUUUCUACAAUUGCUUGGAUUCAACCAUGCUAUGUUGAUCCACUUUUGUACUUGUGUUCUCCAUACAAUCUGUUCUUUAAUCAUAUUUCUGUUGCGUUCAUCAUUGUAUCCAACCUUUGUUGUUUCUUUAUAAGGGAUAAGGCAUGUAUUAAUUUUACAAAGUCUUCAAGAUUUACAUUCCUACUAGCUAUAAAAUACAUUCCUACUAGCUAUAAAACCAAUUUUCUGUGAAACCUCUUUAAAAUAUGAAUCUAUUGUUAUAUCUUUAAUGUACUACUUGUAAUUUGGCUAAUUUCUGGCCAAAAUCAAAAGAUGUUUGACUUUUGAAAUAAAAUAUACCUUAUAAAGAAAAUCAAUGGAUGAAUGGAACAUUGAAUUAAGAAUGCGUAGCCAAAUUGCCAAUGUUUUUGAGUGUUUAAUAUCUCUGUUAACUGAGUCAUGUAUUAUGGAUAUGAACACCCACAUGGCAGGCUAUAGAUUUUCUUUACCUUCCAUGGCUGUUUUGACUCUUGGCUAAAUUAAAUUUACCUGUUAACAAAAUACAACAUAUGUUGAAAUUUGCUGUAGCAAAUUUAAAUGAUUUUGCCCUUUUCUUAUUGCCAUUUCCUAACAAAGCUAUUCAACCUAGGAUUGGUCUGGUGCUAUGAAAUUGAGCAUUAAUUUCUUUUCUCCAUUUUUCAAAAUUAUCUCAUGGAUGCUUGAUAAUAUACGUUUUCCUUUUUUUUUGGUCUGAGUCCAAAUACGGUAUUGAUUUCAUCGUGUUAUUAUAUUAUGGCAGAUCGAUGAUUCCACAAAAUGCAGCUUUGGACCAUAUAAGCACACCUUCAGAAAGUGGUGAAAUACCUUUGGUUAUAAAUGUUGAAAGUCAGCACAUUUUUUGACGAUUCUAUGGCAUGGAAGGGGAUACUUUGUUAGCUGACAUACAACUGGCACUUCCAAAUAGGUGCUAUUUGUUACCUUCAGGCAUGCACAAAUCUAAUACAUCAUCAUGUCCUACUAUCACAUGUGAAGAAGCUCUUAAGAGGGAGUUGGAGUAUCGGCAAAAAAUUGAAAGGAGUCAUCCACAUCUGCUGGUUGGCCUUAAUGGAUCCCCUGCAUUGCUGAAUGUAAGUUUCUUUUUUUUUUUUGACGGUUGAAUGUAAGUUUCUGAUUUGAUGGCUUUCAGUAUAACUUCGUAGCAAACAUUCUAUGACUGGAUUAGAAAAAUGCAACUAGCCUACUAAGCUGACCAAUAGAAGAUAUUUGAAAAUUUCACAAUCAGAUGUUUUCUUCGCUAAUAGAAUAAAGUGAGAGUAGUCUACCCUGUAAUUUUAAUGAGAAAGUAGCUUUCCCUCUUGGUGUUAGUGCAGUUUGAUCGGUUGUGUUAUCCCUAUGUAAUUAAAGGUAUAUACUUGAGUUGUUGUUUUGUAGUUUUACCUAUGGUUAGGUUCUAAACCAUGCAGCUCUAUAAUAGGGUUAAGUCCGAUUUAUGCCCCUCAACUAUCACCAAAGUUUGAUUUACCCCAUCAACUCUAAUACCCGACGUUUUACACUUAUCAACUUUUUAAACCGGACCAAAGACACCCCUCAGUGGUUUAGUUCUAUGUAACAUAGACAUGUUCAUAUGGGGCCCACUGUCAGCCCCUAUUCAUCUUCUCCCUCCCAACUCUCUCCCCAUCUUUCUGUUUGUUGAGCUUGGAGCAGUGCAGCCGCAGAUCUUCCGCAUAUCCGCUUCUCAAAAUUUUUCCUACUCUAGUGAGCUGCAUGUGAUUAUGUGAACUGCACAGCAUGCAUCGUUUGGUUCAUCAAGGUUGCACUGAUCCUCAAUUUGUAAUAAAAAUCAUGGGUCGGACAAACCAACAAACUAACUAACGGACAGGAAAACAAUUUUAAAUGGGCAAUUAAGUGACAAGAAACUAAAGAAUAAAAAAAAAAUUCUGUACCUAGGAGCCAACAAAGGACUCCCCAAAUUCUUCAAUAGGAAAGCAUAAAUCUGAAAGCGGCUAGUGGCCAUACAUACAAAUAACGAGUACAGCAGCAUGCUAGCGGAGGCACAGGAGCAGCAGGAUGGCAGCGCCGCAGCAGUGGCUUUUGAGAAGCUUGGAGGUCUACGGCUGCACUGUUUGAAGCUCAACAAACAGGGGGGGGGGUUAGGAGGAGGAAGAAGAUGAAUAGUGGCUGACAGUGGGUCCCAUAUAAACAUGUGUAUGUCACAUAGGACUAAACCACUUUUGAUUUGGGCAGGGGGAUGUAUUUGGCCCGGUUUUAAAAAGUUGAUGGGUGUAAAACGUCCGGUAUUAGGAGUUGAGGGUGGUAAAUCAAAAUUUUGUGAUAUUUGAGGGGGUUAAAUCAGACUUAACCCUCUAUACUAUGUUCUAAUAUACAGGACAAUUGCAAAUUUCAUUUUGUAGCAUGCAUCACUAUCCAGGAUUUCCUUUAUCAUGUAACCAUGAAACUAAUGAUUAUUUUAGUUAUUGAUACCAGUAUACCGCUAGAAUGUUUCCUCAUCAAAAUUUGACAUCUUUGAAUGGUAAUCCCAAAGAGGUCGAAUGACCUCGCCGCUCACCUAUGUGGGCUGAUAUUACAUCACAUGGCCAAGCGGGAACUAGAGGGAAGGAGUAGGAGAACUGAGCUUGCCAGUGGUUAAGGUGUGACAGUGGUGGUUGCUAUAGCUAGAGGCAAGGAAGCACAAAGGAGGAAUAGAGGAAUGAGGAUGAAAAAAAAGCACAUUGUGGUGUUAGAUGCCACGAGAGCAUAUUUGCAGUGGCAUAUCCAUUAGUCUGAUGCAUUCACUUUACAAUGGGAAUAUGGAAAACAUCUAAAUAACCCUCAAAAUAAUGAUUCUGAAUGACUUUUCAUUAGAUGUACACUUGGAUGUUGACUCAAUCCCUUGUAAAGUUGAUGCCUCUGCAUUCUGAAUUUCUGAUUUUAAAUAUUCUUUUGCAUUUGCUCUUCUAGGGCUAUGUAUACAAGCAUAUAUUUUAGAGUAAAUUACUAAAUUUCACUAAAUUACGGAUACUAUGAUCAAAUUACUAAAUUUCAAAAUUGUAGAUUUAACUCGGUGUAUCACAAAACUACACAUUUUAGAUGAAGUGUCAAACUACAUGUUUAGUAACUAAAUUAUCACAAAACUACAAGUUUAGAAUCAAUUUAGUUACAAAACAGUAAUGUUUAUAGCUCUAGCAUAAUAAUGGUGCUAAGGAUUUAAACUCUAAAACCUGUAGUUUUGUCAUAACUUCAAUAUUAAAUAUGCAGUUUUGUGAUACUUAACCUUAAUUCUGUAGUUUUGUGAUAAAUAUGAUGCUAAAUCUGUAGUUUUGUGAUACAACGCCUUAAAUCUGUAGUUUUACGAUAGUUUGAUCAAAAUACCUGUAGUUUUAUGAAAUUUACUCUUAUUAUUCUCCAGAAUCAUGAAAGACCAUGCGCUAUUGUUGCUACGUCUUUUGUUCAUCGUACCUUGCUACAUUACUUUACAGAAAUAAAUUGGUGUUAACAUGUCCUUAAAAAAAAAAACUUCCAGGAGGUUGGAUCUGGUUCAUCACCUGAUUUGUCAAUGAGGAACUCAGCCCAUGACAGCUAUAUGCCCUCACCACAGGCAUGUUUUGUUGGUUCCACUGUACAAAGACCACCAGCAAAUUGGUACCCCUCAAAGAAAAAGUUGAAAGUUCUACAGCAUCCUUCACAGGCUUUGCAGGCCCCCAGGCCAAAUUUGAUACCUUCCUUUUGGUGCAAAAUUUGUAAGGUGGAUUGUGUUACAGAAUUUAAUUUUGGUGCCCAUAUUGGAGGAAAAAAACACAAGGCAAAAAAGCUGGAGAUUCUUGGUAAUAGAAACAAUGCAAGACCUGCCACUGGCAAUCAAUGUACAGGUAAUAGAAAUCCCAGACCAAAUGGCAACGCAGGUUCUGGAAGCAGAAACAAUGAACCAAAUGUGUUUAAUAGCAAUAUUGCCCAACCAAGCAGUGACACUUUCUCUGGAAGUCAAACCAACGGAACAAUUGGAAAUGUAUGUACUUCUCUGUUAAUGACUGCUUGCAACUUACAUGGCUAUAUGUUUAUAACAAGUAUUUUGAUUUCAUUUUCCUCUGAAAUACUAAUCGACAUGUUUAAUUCUCAGCCUCACAAGGAAAUGUCAUCUGAUGGUGAUGGAAUAAGCAAUAGCAAACUAGAGCAAAAUGUAUGAGCCUCCGACCAUAGUGCAAUAUGGUAUAUGCUGUACUUUUGUGAUACCAACUAACUCUUUGUUCCUUCUAUGAAAUGCACAGUGCUGAUACUGGAUCAUCUGAACACAAGUGAUGAAUAAAGAUACUUGAAGCUUAUGGUUGAACCGGUAAGUCCUGUUUUAUGUAAUUCAGAUUCACCAGUCAUUUUCUUUUAAUCGAUUGUAAACUGGUCACGAGUCCUGCAUGCUUGGAGCGUAAAAUGUUAUAGUUUAGUUUUUCAGAUGAGUGUAGUAUUAUAUGUCCAUAUGCCUUAUAGGCUUAAAUCAUCAUAAUUUUGCUGGUGUAUUGCUUUGCCUUUACAGUCAGGGUUCUGUUGAAUGAUUCUAUUUCUAUAUCUGUUUGUUAGGCUGUGCGUGGCUUUACCAUUUAGCAUCCUUAGAGGAAGGGUCGUGUUAACUCUAAGCUUAUUCGUUUUGCAAGGUUAUAGCAUACUUCAGGAACAUCUUCCCAGUUGUCCCCAUGUGUGUGUCAUGCCACAAGUGCAGCCAAGGAUUUGAGCACCACACUUUGGGCAAAGAAACGGGAGGUACUGCAGCUGAACUGUGGCGUGCUGUCAUUCAGUAAAGAAACAAACUUGGCUGGAACCAAACAGGUCUUUAACCUGCUGAUGUACAUAGUUUUCUCUUUACACUAGUUGUCUUAUUUUUUGUUGCAAAUCAUGUAGAAAUAAAAAAAAAUCCUUGCUUGGAUGAUGGUAUCUUGCAUGCUUUAGCUUGAAUUGCUCUGGAAAUUUUAUCUGGUCAGUAAGACAGUUUCUGGUUAUCACUCUUCUGUCUUCUCCAGUUUUCUUUGGUCAUAAUUUUGCUUUUAGUUUGUAUAGUUCAAAUAUCAUAAUUUAUUGCAAUGUACCUUUGAUAUUUGUUUGUCUGUUCAACCAACAAUUCUUCAUUUUGAGACAUGAAUCCUCUAAGGAUUGCAGACAUAAGGGAAUUCUGCUGCUUAUAUGAUGUCCGCAGUUCUGAUUUUCUCUCCAAAGUUUUCGUGGCUGGAGUUAUGUAGAAUUGUAGAUACAAUAUCUCAAAUCUUCAUGGCUAGUACUAGAAUCUAUCUUGACAUGUUCUCUCUUAACUACGCCUUGGACGCCUUUUUCCCUGUCGGAAUGAUAGGUCCGUCAUAACCUAAUCUGAUGUUUGGUUGUAUAGUUAUUUGACUAGUUAGUGGCUGUCUUAAGACACCAAUUGUUAUGAAGAUUUGGAGGUCUUGUUUCAGUAAUCCAGUUAUCCCUCUAGUCACAUGCAUUGCCAUGGGCUUCCAAGCUUAAAUAUUUUGAUUACUCGUCGGGAAUACACAUCUAAGAGAAUGAUAUUUUAGAUAAUGGAUUUGAAAAAAACCCGGCCUCUACACCCUGCAGGAUAUUUGCAGCCACAAAGUUAUGUAGUCUGAGCAUUUAAACUCGCAAUACAGGUUUCAAGCAACAAAACAUAAACCCCAGGCACUAGGCUUCCGAACGGUAUCUAGCAGCAACAAAACAGAGAAAACAAAGUUCGAAACUUCCAACCUUCCUCUCCAAUGAUGUUUGCUUUAUUUUUUAAGGACUGUUUUACCAAUCUGAAAUGUUACGGUGAACUGAAUAUGGCUAAAUAUUCCAGACGUGUAGAACUUGUAGCCCAGAAUGAACGAACGGUCCCAAUCAAUCAUAGCGUGGAAAUAAGGUGCACGUUUUGCCAUCACAAUCAACUUCUUAUCUCGACCGUUGAUCAUUCAAUUCGAUGUCUGCUCUUAGCUUUUUCUCUCACUUGGAAACCGACCGUUCCUUGCCUGAUUAGAUCAUUCGAACGGUUGAUUGCUUAUUUGGUGUUAGCUGAUCGCCGUCCAUGUGACCACUGAUCACAAAAGCUUCUUGCCAAUAUGACAGUAACAUAGCUCUGAAGAAUUCUCUUGAUCCAGAACUGCCAGCUGAAAAUUAGCACACUCCAAUUCUCCAAAUGCUCAGCAACCACAAGUUCACAACUGCAAUGGUUAGUCGACGCAGCUAAGCUCCAAACACCAUUGGUCCCUGUAGCCACCAUGCUCCAAGUUGCUGUCCAUUGUGUCCGUAUUCUCCUAAUCCAUUCUAGCCAAGAAUUCUCUCUCUUCUCAUCAAGCCAAGAAUUCUCUCUUCUCACCAAGCCAUGUACUUUGAGCAGAGCAGCCGCUGCUCAGCCACAAGCUCCGCUGCGGUCCACGUGUCGCUAUUGUGUUACGACACAUCGCGCGCCGCCAUUGGUCCGGAACAGAGCCCCAAAAAGCGAGCUAUAUCCAAUCUUGGAUCGAUGGCUAGAGAGAUUUGUGGCGCAGCUGCUUCCGGUUCCUCCUAUUUACUUAGCUUGUCAAAACACAUUACUCACUAGUAGCGUACACUACCACAGCUAGCAAUGGAGACCUCGUGCUUCCUUACCUCCAAUGCCUCGCCGGUGAAGAGCAUGGUGAUGCCGUCGCCGGCCGGCGUCGUGAAGGCCAGGCCGCACGUGCUCUUCGGCGGCCGGCGAGCGGCGAGCUCGUCGGUGACCACCUGUGAGUGAUCGAUCACAUGUUUGGUUGGUGAUUCUUUGAUGGAUUCUUGUUUUGUUGGGUUUGAUUAGAUGUGUGUGUUUAUUUGGCAAUUGGCAUGUGCAGGCUGCAGCUACAACGGCGAGGGCGCGGCGCCGGCGAUCGACCCGGACUGGCGGUCGUUCAGGGCGCAGCUCUACUUCAACGAGCAGUACGCGAAGAGCGUGAACCCGGCGGUGGCGGCGGUGAGGGCGACGGCGACGACGCCGGAGCCGGUGAAGAUCGGCGACAAGUGGGCGCACCCGCUAGUGGAGCCGGAGAAGGGGUGCCUGCUGAUCGCGACGGAGAAGCUGGACGGGUCGCACAUCUUCGAGCGCACGGUGGUCCUCCUCCUGUCCGCCGGCGUGCUGGGCCCCGUGGGCGUGAUCCUGAACCGGCCGUCGCUGAUGUCGAUCAAGGAGGCGCAGGCGGUGUUCGCGGAGACGGACAUCGCGGGGGCGUUCUCGGGGCGGCCGCUCUUCUUCGGUGGCCCGCUGGAGGAGUGCUUCUUCCUGCUGGGGCCGCGGGCGGCGGCGGCGGGGGACGUGGUGGGGAGGACGGGGCUGUUCGACGAAGUGAUGCCCGGGGUGCACUACGGGACGCGGGAGAGCGUGGGGUGCGCGGCGGAGCUGGUGAAGCGCGGCGUGGUCGGGGUGAGGGACUUCCGCUUCUUCGACGGCUUCUGCGGGUGGGAGAGGGAGCAGCUGCGCGACGAGGUGCGCGCGGGCUUGUGGCGCGUGGCGGCGUGCAGCCCCGCCGUGCUGGGCCUCGCCACCGUCGUCAAGGGCGGACUCUGGGAGGAGGUGCAGGGCCUCGUCGGAGAGAGGAGGGUGUGGUGACUGAUUACUUCUCAAGGGUGACCAUUAUGUAAUUAAUUAAUUAAUUAAUCUCUUAAUUAACUCGCAAGUAAAGUAUUUACUCCUUUCAGAUUAAUGAUUUUAGGCUUUUAGUCAUCACGGUAGGUUUAAAGAGGGUUGUAUUUGUAUACUCUGUAUCUUGUACUCUUAUCGUUUUGCCCACCACUACGCGAACACACCUCGAUGCCCUUCUCGUCUCCAACGCAUACACUACUUCAUACUUUAUAAUUAAAGCCUUAACUUUCAAAUCAAAAUUCUUUCAAUUUUAGAAAUUUCAGCUUAGAAUGUCAAAUUUUCAAUACAUUCUACCACUCAUUUUAAAAUUUCUACAUAAAUAUUGGCAAGUUUGUACCGAUAAACUCAAAUGUUUAAUUCACGUAACAAAACACCAUUGAGCAACUUGGAGCCUCAAACACCAUUCAAAAGCCUCAAACUUCCAACUGAAUGGUGCUCGCUUUGCCAAACACCAUUGAGCAACUUGGAGCUCACCUGCAUCUAGAUCCAAGAGUAAGAAGAAUUUGUGUGAAGUGACUUGCUAUCCUUGGAGAUAAGAGGCUCGUCCAUGACCCGGGGGGGGGGGGGGGGGGGUUGUAUAGAAACAAACACGUCUUAUGAGAGGUUCAUCUGCUCCGCCACUAUGCUAGGAACUUAAUUGGGCUGCACAUGGGCUAUAUAUUUUACCCAUAAUCCAAGGCCGGGACUACGAGCCUCAGAAAGAGGAUACAAAAACAAACAACAUUGGAUGUACUAUCUAUCUACUCUCUCCGUCCCAUAAUAUAAGAGAUUUUGAAUUUUUGCUUGUAGUGUUUGACCACUCGUUUUAUUCAAAAAAUUUAUGUAAAUAUAAAAAACGAAAAGUUGUGCUUAAAGUACUUACGAUAAUAAAGUAAGUCAAAGAAAUAAAUAAUAAUUCCAAAUUUUUUUAAUAAGACGAGUGGUCAAACACUACAAGUAAAAACUCAAAAUCCCUUAUAUUAUGAGACGGAGGGAGUAUCUAUCUAUCUAUUAUAUACUAAAAGUCCAUUAAACUUCCUAUGAACGCUCCUAAGCCACCACGUGGCACCUCUACAAACUCUCCUACGUCGCCACAUGGCACUCUAAUAAAUUAGAAGAAUUAAGCAAAUGUGAACUAGUUGGUUUUCAUUUAAUCUGGUGGAUCCAUUAUUUUUAACCGUUAGAUAUAUAGCAUAGAAAAUGUCAAAUAGAUUUAUUAUCUUUAAAAAUCCACACAUGCGCCGUACGUGUACGUGCAUGUACGUACAUAUUUUGUACGUGGGCCCCACGCCCCCUUUUCUUUUUUUUCUUUUUCACUAACACAUGAGAAAAAACAAAAUUCAUAUUCCAGCCCAUAUAGUUCGGAGUAUGUACUUGCAUGUAGGGCCCCACGUCCCCACAUUUCUUUUCAUUUUCCUUUUUUCACUCACAUAAGAUAAAAACCACAUUAAUAAUUCCAACCCAUAGUUGUACAAAUAUAUUUAUUUUUGAGUUGUAUUGUACUAUACGCACAUCAUUGAAAUAUUCAUAAAAUAUCUAAAUAAAUGAAUAAUAUACAUUAUAUAAUUAUAUAAUUGUAUGUCACUUAAUGACAUGUAUUGUUAAAUUAGAAUUGCAUUUUGAAAAAUAAAAACAACUCCAGUUGUGAGUAACAUUGCAAAAAUGAUUCGCUCCCUACUAUAAGAAAAUACUGUUAUAUCGGAAUAAUAUUAUUAAAUUAUCAUAAUUACACUCUACCAAUCAUAUACCUAAUAAUUAAAAAAUUACUAAAAAAGAUAAAAAUAACUUGACAAAUAUUAGUGCACUACCACAUUAUUCAUAAAAAAUAAGGAAAGCUAUUUUUUAUUAACUAUACUAUUAAUAAUUUUAAUGUUAUGAUUUAAUAAGUAAUAUUAUUAUUUAUUUGUUAACUUUUUUUAUACCGUUUAGCUGUUCGAGAAACGUGCUCGCUACAAAUAAGGGAGUAUCUAAUCCUAUAAGCUCUUUAGAACACACUCUUAAAUUUAUUACUUAGAUACAAACACAAUAUAUACUAUACAAUAUAUUUGGUCAAUCCUGGCCUAAAAUAUCAAUCGUAAAUCCUCACUGAUCCUCAUGUAUGUAAGUUUUAUAUAUAAGCCAUUAUCCACUAAUCAUCAAGCCAUAUUGCUUACGAGGCAUGUGUGCACAGUGCAUAUAACGAUUAGUUGGCCCUUGAUUUACUUGGGGUUGGCAAUGAGCAAAGAUAAGGUGACUAAGAGGGAGUUGUUACCAAUCAUGCAAAAAGUUGAGAAAAGGAUGGAUAGCUGGCAAAGUGGACACUGUUGGUAUUUUUUAACGAUAAUACUAGAAAUCUAAUUCCCAGCAAUGGCGCAGAAAUACUCGUAGUAUAUUAUGGUUACAGAUUUCAUCCGCAAACGCACGGAUAUUCUAUUGUAGCAUUUUAUCCGAGAAUAUUCCAAGGGUAUCGUAUUUGUUUAAUCCCAUGGGAAGAUUAUAAUAGAGAAAACCAAGCUAAUAUUUAUAUGUUACUUGUAAUAAUCAAAGUCUAAGCAGGGGUUAGUUCAAUUCAAAGGGUAGGGUGACACAAAGCUGAAGCAUUCACUAUUCUCAUAUAUACUAAUUCUAGGCUAAAUGGAAAGAAUAAGAAAAUAAUCAUUUCCUAUACUUCUAAUAUACAUACAUACACUUCAGUCAAUAUUAUCUACUAUAUAAUCAUAUAACCAAUACCCCUCUUACGAUGCCCUCCUGGUGUUUCGAGAGACCACCCCUGAUUGCCGAGUUCCUUACGACAACCCGUCAUGGUCAUCCAACCGGGGUUAAAUACGGAGGAGUACCCUCCCCAGGAAAGUAACUUUGGAUUAUAUACACGCGUGGAGGAAUACCCGUAUUGAGCUGUCACCAUCAACGGCCCACCUCGGCAUAUUCAUAGCAUGAGAUGAAUGGGAAUAGAUUGGAUUAUAGUAGAUGAAAUAACAAGGAACAGUCCUGAACCUAAACAGCGCGACGCUCUCCGUUGCACUGAGAAGGCAGGCCGAUAGGCACUGAGAUAAAUCUUGAUCUAAUGCCUAACUGACCUGAGAUAGGAUUGCUCCUUAUAUAGAUGGAGGACUCCUUAAUCUAAUCCUAACAAACCCUAACUCUAUCUAAUGAGCCUAGGACUCCUGGCCCAAAGCCCAUGACAUUACUCCCCUCUUUUUGAGCAGCUCGUCCUCGAGCUGCAGCACACCCUGCUAGACUCAAACGAAGUACCAUAACCUAAACAAAGACUUUCAAGCCUUUUACAUCUUGGCUUGCUGUUAUUAUGGACGAAAAUAGAACAAAAUUCAUUGUUAUUGCCAGGCUACUAUGCAAGCAGCAUGCACAGGAGGACCCCACCCAAGAACCUUGAGUGAAAGGAGGGCUCGAAUAGUAACCCAAUCUCCAGUCCAAUUGACCACCAGAACAGCCCACCAGUAGAUUCCGACGGAGGCCUUGACCAAAAAUCCUUGGCCCAAAAUAUGAUAAUGAUCCACCUUUACGUAUGGGCCAACAUGGAAACCAACCAGCCCAACCAGGAGAGGACAGAAACCAUAUCUCCCUUUUCUUCCGGAGACCACGCCGCUACGAGCGACGAGCUGCAAACUUCUAGCGCUUGGACUUGGCGCGAUCUGUGCCGCCUCCACGCCUCUACCCAUCGAGCGCACGAAAUGGGCCAACCCCGCGAAGCACGCGGUUCGCGAGUAGAUCGUGCCAAACCAGGCGCUCAAAGAAACUGCUCCGCCUCCCAUGGCUCUGCUCCAACCGUCAGCGAAAUUUGCGCCGCUAACUGCGGAAACCGCGUCACAUCUCCUAGAAAUUGCGCUUGAGAACCGAACGCCCAAGCCGUGUUGUGUCGCCGUCGAAGUGGAACUCGCCGUCGUCUUCGCUGCCUCCGUCGAGGGCGCCAACGGCGAUGACGCCAUCGCCAGGCCCAGCGGUGUGAUCGAGUGCUGGAUAGGCUGGAUCUCCCAUGACCUGGUUCUGUCGGCCUUGUUCUUUUAGAUGUUAAUGAAGCACACCGUUUCCCCACAGUAGAUACCGGCGGCUUGGGCAGAGGAGCUGUCGUUGAUGCCAUCCCCAACACCACGCCACCAGAUCUUGUUUCCGCCAAGAUGAGCAGCAGAGCUCCUGGCAGACGACCGCGAGGGGCAGCCAUCUUUGGCUUGAAAUUGACCGCGAGGCGGCUCAUCUUCUUCCUCGAGCUGGCACCUCGCAACCGACGCUUGAAAUUGUGCUGCCGUGGUCGCAGGAACAUCACGACCUGCCGGUCAGAUCGCUCGGUGGCUCCGAGAGACAUGGCCUGCUCGGCUGAUAGAGCCACUAAAGCCUGGACUUGCUCUGCCAAGUCCAUCAGCCUCUUCGAAAUCUCGGCAAGGUCAUUGCUGAUGUUGGCGCAAAGGUGUCAGGAACCGCAACGAUCUCGGAACCCAUGGGCACGAAACCGAAGCUCUGAUACCAAGUUGUCACGAGCAAGGAUUAUGUGGAGAAGAAUCGAGAUGAAUAGGAAUAGAUUGGAUUAUAGUAGAUGAAAUAACAAGGAACAGUCCUGAACCUAAACAGCGCGACGCUCUCCGUUGCACUGAGAAGGCAGGCCGAUGGGCACUGAGAUAAAUCUUGAUCUAAUGUCUAACUGACCUGGGAUAGGAUUGCUCCUUAUAUAGAUGGAGGACUCCUUAAUCUCCUUAAUCUAAUCCUAACAAACCCUAACUCUAUCUAAUGAGCCUAAGACUCUUGGCCCAAAGCCCAUGACAUAUAACCCCAAAUAAUGAUAUUCAAUAGCUUAAGCACCUCGCUUAUGCUACCAAAUACUACUCUACAAUCACUGUCGUGACUUAAAGUAAUGAUAUAAAUGAAUAUUAUACCCACACCAUUCCAUCUCCCGAGAAAGCUAGCUAAACAAUUAUAUCUCGAAUAAUAUCUCAUAAAGUAGGUACUCAAAUAGUCAGAGUGAAGUAAAGUAUCGUAAAUAUAUUGAGAAGAAUAUUCUAUAAAUAUUGCAAGUCUUACAAAAGAAGGAAAAGCUGCUAGAGCCAUACCCGAACUCUUCUGAAGACUCCGAGAACUGAAGAUUCUAUUCUAUUUCUAUUCCACUAUAUUCUGGAGACUAUACUAAACUUGAGAGAAUGUAUAUAUGAAUCUUCUUGCUUAAGGUGUGUGUUGAAAUGGAGGAUGAGAGCUCCUUUUAUAGCAUGGCAAUGACGGUUAUGGCGGUUGGAAAGAUCGGUAAUACCCUCCAACCGCCAUAGGGAAGCAAUCCAGACCAUCCAGCGCCAACCCUGCAUCGAACGGCUGCAUGGUUCGGCCGAACCAUGGGCUAGGCCAAACCAGCUCAAUCUCGGCUGGCGGCCUUCUUAUCUCUUCCCUUAUUCAGAACAACAAAUUUUGGGCCUAUUGGAUUGUGGCAAUUCUGUGUUCUUGGCCCAUUCAUCCAUAAGUCUGAUUCUCGAUAGCGUUCGUUUGAUUGAUCGUCCGUUUUGCUGCCAAUUCUCCUCCAUUUUGUGUUAUUCUCUGCAAGAGGUUAGAAAGCCUAGUGCUAGUGGAAUAUAACUUAUUCUAACACAAAUACACAUUGCAAGCAUAACUAGUUCUCCUUUAUUUUGAUAAUAUCGACGGGUAAAACUGAUCGAUAACGACCAUCAACAGACACCUUUUCUAUGGUGGGAGGGAGAUAAGGAUUAAUGUUUGCCUGACCAGCAUUGCUUUGUACACUAUGGGGUUCUAUCAUCUUCCUGAGGAGUUCCAUAAGAAGAUGGAAUCAAUUAGGGGGAGAUUUUACUGGCAAAAGAAGAGAUACCAUAUGCUGAAAUGGCAGGCCCUUUGUAAACCAAAAGAUUUUGGGGGGCUUGGUUUCAUUGACACAAGGCUGAUGAAUACAGCAAUGUUAUGCAAAUGGAUUGUUAAGCUGGAAAAUAACUCUAAGGACAUGAGUUGUGAAGUGCUGAAAAGGAAGUACCUGAGGGAUGGUAGAAGUUUCUUUAGCAGUUCUUCAAUUGGGGGUUCUCAAUUCUGGAAGGGACUUCAUGCUGGCAAGAAGUGGCUGCAGUUGUUCAUGGAGAGAAAAGUAGGGAAUGGAAAACAUACCUUAUUUUGGGAGGAUGUGUGGUUAGUGUCAGAGUAUAUGGUAGUUAGAGUCAUAUUAGGAUAGGAUUGAUUUGUGUGGACUCCUUCCAUAUCUGUAAUCCUUCCAUAUCUCCUCCCAUGUACUCCUAUAUAUACCUGCCCCCUGAGGCUCAAUACAAUAUGUCCAAUAUUCGCAGUAUCCUCUUUCCCCAUACUAUCCAACAUGGUAUCAGAGCGGGCGAUCUAGUCGCCUCUCUCUCACGCUUCCGCUCAUCGCCCCCGGGAGGGUUUCGAUCUCCUGGGGGCGGCCACCCGUUUUUCGUUUUUUUUUCUCGUCGUGCUUCGCCGCCGAGAUCGAUCUCGAUCUCCUCGGCAUCGUCGAGUCGUCUUCGCGUCAUUGUGAAGAAGUCAGUAGCAUCGUACCAUCCACAUCGUCGUCGCCGAUCUGGAGGGCAUGGCCGACCUGAUCUCCACCAGCACCCUGACGUCGCCGGUAGGCCGCGCCGCCCGCUGGUCGUCGGCCUCACCUAGGGCAAGGCCGCCCCGACGCCACCGGCGCCAUCUUCAUCAAGCUUCGUCCGGGCGCCGGUGUUGCUAUGGUCGUCGCGGUGUCGUUGGCGCGGCACAGAGUACGGGGGGACACAUCCCUGCCGGUUCCUCCUCGGCGGCCGCCUACGCCUGCAGGCCGCCGUUCACCGUCGACGCCCCCUCCACCAUCCACGCAACCAUCUGGCAGUCGUCAUCUGGAGGUCGUCGUCGUUGCGGUCGAGGUGCGGUCGAGGUGCGGUCGCAACCAUCUGGCAGCCGCACGCCCUCCGCCUUCGGUCGCCGGCCUGGCUGACGGGGUGCCGCUUUCUGCUGUCCGCCGGGCUGCCGGCCUCGGCUGCUCACCUCGAGGUUGUCUCCUUGGCUGCGCCGACAGCACGUCUCCACCAGCGCCUCCCAUCCGUUCGCCGGCCUCAACGCCCACCGCCUGGCGCUCUCCCUCCCCCCGCUCUGUCUCUCUCGGAGAUGGUGGACGCGUUGACUGUUCGUCUGCUCCAUGCCAAUGAAGUGAGAGAUUGGGGAUGAGCAAGUUAUUCAUGGGCUCAGGACUGUGUGAACUUGGUCCAUGGACCAUGGAAGACGUGGAGUUUGGCUUCUACUGUGGACUACUGCAUGCUACUGUAUCAAUUUUUUUUUCCGAACAGAGUUUGGGUUUGCGUCGCCCACCGCCUCGUCGACAUCCGCGCGUCUCCGAUAUCGGCAUCGACUCAGCUUUGACUUUAUCAUUCCGCCUCGCGCAUCUUCGGCUUGAUCACCCGUUCAAGCGCCCGGCUACAACGACUUCUACAACCGAUCGUCAUCGAGCACGCGUCUACGUCAUCAAGCUUUGGGUUGCCGCUGCGUCGCCCUCUCGGGCUGCAGUGUCGCCGCCUGUGGUCCACCUCUACUGGUUGUUGGAAUGCUGAGAGGCGCCCUCCUCAGCGUGGCCUCACCGCCGGUGGAGUUCUCGCUGCUGCAUCGACAUCGAGCUGCACCUGUGUUGCCCCUUCGGGUCACAGCGUUGCCCCUGUCAUCUUCAUUGCCGUUCGCACAUCGACAACCUCGUCGUCUGCACUGGUCAUCAUCAGCCGCUCAGAGUCUUCUUCGUCUACUUCGAGCAUCGCCGCCGCAUCUCCAAGCUGCCAUUGUCGCCACUCUAGGCCGGUGGUCCAGCUACCUCUACAUGGCUACCGACGUCACCGUCCAGGCCAUUGGUCCCGCUACUUCGCCUUCUACUUCAUCCAGCAUGACUCAUCGCCAGCGUCGCCGUAUCUUCCUCGACUACACUUCGCUCUUUUCCAACAACCGCAUGCUGCUCCGGCAAUUCUCCCUCUACGCCGUUCUCGUGCCGCAAUCGUCUUGGAGGCCUUCUCUGCUAGUCUCCUCCGACAUUGGGAUAUGAUUCAUGGUGGUCCCCUGUCUCGCCCGCGCGAUAUUGGCAACACUGGCGCGCGCGUUCGUCCCGAGUUGUCCCGGAGUCUGGCAAACCUUGUGUGACGUCUCGUCCUUCACGGUUCGACUACAUUGGCUCUUCGGCGUCAUCUUCCUCAACGACUGCCGCGAUUGUGUCACCGUCUUCAUCUCCGGUGCAUCCUCACACACCUUGGUCCACGACGCCCUCCCGUGCGUCCACGACCACUCUACGGCGCCUCAUGCGCUCCCUGUGGCUCGGCUACCUUGACAUCAGCUUCCUGACUUCGGCUACAACGACCACGGCUACUCUACGCACGACUUCAUCGACCACGGCUCCCUCGCAUCCAUCGCUUUGGCUAUGUCGACAACGGCACAAAGGGCUAUCAUCCGUGUUGAGCACUCUUGCCGUUUUCUUCUCCAUUCCAAGUGUCCACGCUGCUCACGCUUGGACUGCGGGGGGAUGUUAGAGUAUAUGGUAGUUAGAGUCAUAUUAGGAUAGGAUUGAUUUGUGUGGACUCCUUCCAUAUCUGUAAUCCUUCCUUAUCUCCUCCCCAUGUACUCCUAUAUAUACCAGCCCCCUGAGGCUCAAUACAAUGUAUCCAAUAUUCGCAGUAUCCUCUUUCCCCAUACUAUCCAACAGUUAGGACAAGCUCCUCUUAGAGUGCAGUACCCUGGGUUGUAUAAAUUAGUUUGCAAUGUAAGAAGUCUGUCAGACAUGUGUGGGAUAGGGUAAAAUUGGAGUUAAGUUUCAGAAGGCAAUUGAAUGAAGAGAAUACUUUAGAACUACAGGAACUAAUAGGUAGGUUGAAAGGGUUUGGUAUUACAACAGAUAAUGACCAAAUUGUUUGGCCUUAUGGGAAGAAAGGGGAGUACAAUGCGAGAUCCUUGUAUAGAUCAUUAAGUUUUGGUGGGGUUACAUAUGCUGGUAGUAUGGCAAAGUAAAAUUUCUCUUAAGAUCAAACACUUUGUGUUCUUAGCCAUAAGAGGGAGAAUUCUUUGUGCAGUAGAAUUGAUCAAAAAGAAAUGGAGAGGGGGUGAUGAAUUUUGUAAGCUCUGUGGGAAAAGGGAAUGAGUGAAUCAUGUUUUGUUUAACUGCUCUAUUGCCAAAUUGUUUGGUGUGUGAUUAAAGAGUCUUUGGGGUUAGAUUUGACUCCUGGCAACUUAGGGGAUGUCUUGGCUAUGUUUAAAAAGAAACUAGGGAGUUCAAUGGGUGUUUUUUUAGUUGUUGUGUGUGUUUGGACGAUUUGGCUCAAUAGAAAUGAUUGGGUUUUUGAAAAUAUUCUGGUCAAAUCUCCUUUGCAGGUGGCGUACAAGGCCGUUGCUAUGAUGCAAAGGUGGAAGGAGUUACUAAAGGGGGGAGGUCGAGGGCAAGUAGAUAACUGGAGAGACAAGAUCUUGGCAAACUUGGCGCGGCUGCGGCAACUUUGUGACCCUCCUGAAUUCAUCUUACGCUGGUGGUUGAUGCUGGAGCUGGUUUUUGGGUGGUGUUUUCUCUGUGAUCGUGGUGUCAGCUUUGCUUGAAUGUUAGCUGGAAACCCCAGCCUGUUUAUUAGUUUGUGUCCUGGUUUUCUUUUUCAGUUAGAUUGUUGUUUGUUUGAGACUCUGUUCCUUUUGGCUUGGUUUUCAAGCUGGGUAAUGAAAAUUGCCUGAUCUCAAAAAAAAGAAAAAAAAAGAAAAAGCGGCGUCAGGACGACGGAUCGGCGCCUCGGCGGCGGCUGCGGUUGAUACGGAGGAGAUCGCGGCAGCGGUUGAGACUUGAGAGGAAGGCGGACGGAUCAAGACACCGCUCGGCCGUUUUCUUUUCGCUGAUUCCGGAUCGCGAUCGAUCGAGUCGCGCGACGGUGGUGUGCGGACUGCGGAGGAGGAGCGCGUAGUUCCGAUUUUCUGAUCCACACAUGUGCUUACAUGCAAAAAUUUCGCGAUUCCCAGCGACACGAAAUAUUAACAGAAUUCAUUUGGUUUAGAUAAGCCAUACGCGUGCGACGGCGCCGAAUCUAUCCACCAAGAUAAUUAAACUAAUCUCCAGAUUAUUUCUCAUCCAAGCCUGCUUCCCUCCUCUAUAAAUUGACUCCACCCCGGCCGAGGUUUCCUCACCCAUCUCAUCAACGCCUUCUUGCUCUCUAUCUCUCUCUUUUUCGCAUCCUUCUUAGUAUUGGCAAAAGCUCGUUGUCGUGCUCCGGCCAUGAAGACGACGAUGGCGGCGGCGGCGACCUGCCUCGUGGCGCUGCUGGUGGUGGUGCUCGCGGAGGCGGCCGGCGUGGGCUGCACCACCGUCGCCUACAAUGACCGCAGCCUGGUGAUCGACGGCGAGCGGCGCAUCAUCAUUUCAGGAUCUAUCCAUUACCCGAGGAGCACCCCGGAGGUAUAAUGAAAAUUAGCUAUGGAUAUAUUGAUCGCUAUGCGCAUGCAUGCAUGCAUGCAAAAAUACGUGUGAUUGUGGUAGGUCUUAGCCGUCUUUUGAUAUUGCAUGUACAUGAGAUGAGAUUAGUACGUGCGAUUUUGGUUUUGUUCUUCAUAUAUAUGCUAUACACCAAUCUCAAAGGAUCGCAUAAAAUCUAACAGUAGCCGUCAUUUAUAUCUACUGUAAUUAUUUCUUAUAGAUCACAUUUAUAUCUACUCUAGAUGUCUACAAAUUUAUAUUCUCUCAGUUUUUCUAGUCAUACACCCGCGCACAUCAUUAUUCUUUUUUUCACCAGUUGCUUGGCUCAUAACAUCGUUAUACAUAUGGUCGAAUAUGACUAACAGUACGUAUUUACUUAAGUAGAUUAAUCUUCGCAUCAUACUUUCACAGUACGUAUAAUAUCCUACUAGCGAUCGAUCGACUAUGAUAGAAUAUAUGACUAACAGUACGUAUUUACUUAAUUAGAUGAAUCUUCGCAUCGUACUUUCACAGUACGUAUUAAGUACUGACAUGAAGAUCAGUGUUAAUUAGCUAUACUUACAGGCUACUAUAUGUCGUAUUAAAUAGCCUAACCUCACCAUCUUUAUUUUCAUUGGUCUGUCGUAUUUCAAGGCUAGCUAGUAAAAAACUCAGAAAUCGUAUUUUCUUCUGACCUCAUAUAUAUUUCAUGAAUCUCAGAUACACACACAUGCCGGUAUAUAUAUAACUUAUAUAGUUAUACACUGGGAAGAUGAUCCCGGUGAGAAAAAAAAAUCAUUCCGAUAUGUAUACAAUUAAUAAUGAUAACUUUAUUUUCAAUUUAAAUGGAAAUUCUAGUUUUAUAUUUUGUUUUGUUAAUGUGGUAGUUUUUAAUUAUAAUUAAGAUCUGCUCAUGCUAAUACUGGGCCUGCCCUGGGGCAGUGUGAGCGGUGCAAUCGCACUGGGCCCCACGACUUCAUGGGCCCCCGGGCCCCGGCCAUGUACACAAUAAUACCUCUGCCUAGCCUGCACGGUCAAUACAAUUUACACAUAAAGCAGUAAAGCACAGAUUAUGUACAGGCACGUUAACGUUAGCAAAAACCAGGAAACCCAUCAGUUCUUGCGCAGUUGCGCCGCUGCUCAGGAAACAUCAUCGCUCGGCGUUGAAACCAUCUCCUUCCUCUCGAAGGCCUGGGCUCUCCUCUCAAUUGGCAAUCCUAAUUAAGCAAUUGGUCUCUCUGGGCUGCCAUUAAUUAAUCUCAUCCUGAAGCCUAUGUUCUAUUCUUAUAUUCUUAGUAGUAUCUUGAACACAAAAUUCAGAUAGAACUUCACUAAUUUCUUUUUGUUCUAUAGCUACUAGAGUUGACUGGUUGAGAUAGGAGCUUUAAGUGAAUAGGUUCCUUCUCAGUUCUUACGAUAUGUACGUAGUUAAUUAGUAUCUCUACAUCACAAUCUUCUUGGUUGAGUCAUUCCUCUUGCAGUCUUAACACUAACAGAUGACGUGCUCUUUAAUUUAUAGGGGACAUAUAAGAUAUUAUAAACUUAAAUAGUUUCAAUAUUUGAUGUAUUCCUUGUAUAGCGUUUAUACUAUUCAAUUAUCACCAAACGUUACUUUGUGCUUAAUGAUGUCUUAAAGUUCAACAUUUUUUCCUAUUUAAAAUAAAAAAAAUAUUUUACAUAUAUAUUUACUAGCUACUAGUAUUGUAGGGCCCUUUAUUUUUGUCUCGUACUAGGCCCUCAAAAUUUCAUGACUAGCCAAUGAUACACGUAUAUUUAUCAUGUUUCCCUCUGGUGCAGAUGUGGCCUGAUCUGAUUAAGAAAGCAAAGGAAGGUGGCCUUGACGCGAUCGAGACCUACGUCUUCUGGAACGGCCAUGAGCCCCAUCGCCGCCAGGUUAGUUCUGUCUCCGAUAAAAUAUGUAUACUGCUUUAGCUGUUACUGCUAUUUAUUUAGUAAGUAAUCGAAUAUGUAAAUCCACAGUAAAUAUUUUACGAUUUAAAACUAAGCUUAUGUAAUUCAAAGCAAGGCUGUUCCCCAUGUAUAUACCCCAUGUAUAUACGGAGGAGUACUAUUUAUUUAGUAAGUAAUCGAAUAUGUAAAUCUACAGUAAAUAUUGAUUAAAACUAAGCUUAUGUAAUUCAAAACAAGGCUGUUCCCCAUGUAUAUUAUUUAGAUGAAUUAAGCUUAGUUUAUACAUCCUUAUAUUCCAGGCUGUUCCCCAUGUAUAUUAUUUAGAUGAAUUAAGCUUAGUUUAUACAUCCUUAUAUUCCUUGCGUAUAGAUCGCAGUAUCGCUACUUGUAGCUUAUUUUGCAAACCCGAUUCUUGAUAUUUCUAACCAAUGCAUGAAACAAAGUAGUAUAAUCGAAAUUCUUGAUAUUUCUAACCAAUGCAUGAAACAAAGUAGUAUAAUAUAUGCCAUCUCCUACGAUGGGUCAUAUAGAAGUGACUAUAUAUUCAAACUAAGAAUAUAUGCCAUCUCCUACGAUGGGUCAUAUAGAAGUAACUAUAUAUUCAAACUAAGAAUAUAUGCCAUGUCCUACGAUGGGUCAUAUAGAAGUAACUAUAGUUCAAACUAAGAAUAUAUGCCAUCUCCUACGAUGUGUGCAUUUUGAAAAAUUUUAGCCUAUUCUAGCAAUGUUCUUCUGAUGACCUACGAUGUGUGCAUUUUGAAAAAUUUUAGCAUAUUCUAGCAAUGUUCUUCUCAUGACCUUCGUGAAAUGUUCUGAUAUAUAUGUAGUACAACUUCCUUCUCAUGACCUUCGUGAAAUGUUUUGAUGUAUAUGUAGUACAACUUGCCUAUUCUAGCAAUGUUUCUCAUGACCUUCGUGAAAUGUUAUAUAUAUAUAUAUAUAUAUACACGUAGUACAACUUACUUCUCAUGACCUUCGUGAAAUGUUUUGAUAUAUAUGUAGUACAACUUUGAGGGGAACUAUGACAUUAUCAGAUUUUUCAAGGAGAUCCAGAAUGCUGGCUUAUACGCUAUUCUUCGCAUCGGGCCAUACAUUUGCGGCGAAUGGAACUAUGGGUACAUAACUGUAUAUGCUCAAUUUUACACACGUUUGUGUGAUAGAUAAGGGAAUGUUGAAUACUAUUUCACUAGCACACUGCACUAAUCAUACUUUUUUUAAUCGUUUUCCUCAUAUGCAGAGGACUUCCUGCUUGGCUACGUGAUAUUCCACAAAUGCAGUUCAGAAUGCAUAAUGCGCCAUUUGAGGUAAUGGGUUAUAAUAAUAAAUUAAUUCAAACAUGUAUAUAUUCAUAUAUUAUGUAUAGCAAUUGAAAUUUUGAGCAAUUGUUUUGUUUCCUACUGAAUAGAAUGAGAUGGAAAACUUCACGACUCUCAUUAUCAACAAGAUGAAGGAUGCCAACAUGUUUGCUGGUCAAGGUGGCCCAAUCAUCCUGGCACAGGUGUGAUGCAUGCUAGCACCCUCGAUCUGUUGCCAAUAAUACAAGUUAUUCAAUUACAAAUGCAUUGCUUGUAUCUUUAUAUAUAUAUAGUACCGCUCUAUUGCCAAUAAUUUAAGUUAUUUAAUACAAAUGCAUUGCUUGUAUCUUUAUAUUAUAGAUCGAAAACGAGUACGGAAAUGUCAUGGGCCAACUGAACAAUAAUCAGUCUGCGUCUGAAUACAUCCAUUGGUGUGCGGACAUGGCCAACAAGCAGAAUGUCGGUGUCCCAUGGAUCAUGUGUCAGCAAGACAGUGAUGUGCCGCACAAUGUGGUGAGCAUGACUUUCAAUUUGUUUAAAAUAAUGUAUAAUGUUUGUAUGUGUUUAAAUUCUUUUAUUGAUUGUUUGAAAUUCAUGCCGUUGUUUCUUUUCCCGAUUAAUUUAGGUGAACACCUGCAACGGAUUCUACUGCCAUGAUUGGUUCCCAAAUAGGACUGGCAUCCCUAAGAUUUGGACAGAGAACUGGACUGGAUGGUAUAUAUAUAUUUAUAAUUUUCUUUCAUCACAUAUAUAUGUUUCUCUUCUAUUGUAAAAGAACUUUUUUAAUAUUCAAAUAUGAAUUGAAGCAUAUCUUUUGUGACUUUCAUUGAUUCGGAUUAGGUUUAAAGCCUGGGACAAGCCGGAUUUCCAUAGAUCCGCCGAAGAUAUUGCUUUCGCAGUUGCAAUGUUCUUCCAAAAGCGUGGUUCUCUCCAGAACUACUACAUGGUAUGUACUCUCAAUUUCUUGUGGCUUUCUCACAUAUAUAUAUAUAUAUCUCACAAUGAAUCGAACUAAUUGUUGCCAUCACACCAUUUUUACCAGUACCAUGGUGGAACGAAUUUUGGUCGCACCUCAGGUGGCCCGUACAUCACAACUAGUUACGACUAUGACGCACCUUUGGAUGAAUAUGGUGAGAAAUUAACAUACAACAUUUUGGGCUAUUUAAUUAAAUGCACAAUUAAUAAGCUAUAAAUCAUAGUAUAAUUCUGAUUUUCCUUUGGUUUACCUAUCAUAAUUAGGUAAUCUUCGGCAGCCGAAAUAUGGCCACUUGAAGGACCUCCACUCUGUGAUCAAGUCCAUUGAGAAGAUUCUUGUCCAUGGGGAAUAUGUUGACGCCAACUACAGUGAUAAUGUCACAGUAUGAUUCAUGCCAUACUUUCGCAGAAUUUCCCUAACAGAUUCAAGUUUUCUAGCAAACUGAUACAUGUGGUUCACAUUGAUAAUUUCUUUUCAACAUAUCUGAUGCAUUAUGAUCACUUAUUUUCUAAAGGUUACCAAGUACACCUUGGGCUCCACCUCAGCUUGUUUCAUCAACAACCGGAAUGACAACAAAGAUCUUAACGUAACCCUUGAUGGAAACACUCACCUUCUGCCUGCUUGGUCUGUGAGUAUCUUGCCUGACUGCAAGACCGUUGCCUUCAAUAGCGCCAAGGUAUUUUUCCAAUCAUUAUUGAAUUCUGACUAUAUAAUUUGAUUGAUGCAGGAUCUAUGAUACUACACUAUUGUUACAAGCUAAUUGUUAAGAUUGUUUUUUCUUUCGUUUUUUUUUUGGAACAAUUAGAUCAAAGCCCAAACGACUAUCAUGGUAAAGAAGGCUAACAUGGUAGAGAAGGAGCCAGAGAGCUUGAAAUGGUCAUGGAUGCGUGAAAAUUUGACGCCCUUCAUGACUGAUGAGAAGGGAAGCUAUAGGAAGAAUGAGCUCUUAGAGCAGAUCGUCACAUCAACUGAUCAAAGUGAUUACUUGUGGUACAGAACAAGGUAUUGGCCAAAAAAACAUUUUUAUUGCAACUUUUACAUGAUAAGAAGCAUUUUUAAUGUUAACUUAUUAUUGAAUAAUAUGCUGCCUAAUUUUGACACAUAAAAUGAAAUGCAGCCUUGACCACAAGGGUGAGGCGAGCUACACUUUGUUCGUGAACACAACAGGGCAUGAACUAUAUGCCUUUGUGAAUGGAAUGCUUGUUGGUAAGUAGCUAGUUAAAUUUAGCUUCUUGCACAACAUAACAAUUCGUGGUAAUUUUCUCAUUGAGAUGUUAACUAUCAAUCUGGUUGGCAGGUAAAAACCAUUCUCCAAAUGGACACUUUGUUUUCCAGCUUGAGUCAGCAGUAAAGCUUCAUGAUGGAAAGAACUACAUUUCUCUUUUGAGUGCUACCAUUGGUCUAAAGGUUUCUAAUAUAUUUACUAAACAGUUCAUUAAAAGCCUGUCACUAUAUUUUUUGUAUAUGUGUUGUUGUGUAUGAUGAAAGAUAUUUGUUCAAUGUCAAACAGAACUAUGGCCCUUUGUUUGAGAAGAUGCCUGCUGGCAUUGUUGGAGGACCAGUUAAGUUGAUUGACAACAAUGGCACAGGGAUUGAUCUCUCCAACAGUUCCUGGUCAUAUAAGGUGCACAAAAUCUCUAUCAAUUGUCAAUUAUUACUAUUUAAUUAUCAACUAUAUUUCUAUGGAUAUUUUUAAGACUUUUGAUGACGUAUGUUAUUAGGAAAUAUACCAGCAAAUUUUUCCCUUGAUUCAAUAGAUUGUUUAGAUUAAUUAAUACUCGUCAUCUUACCACUUUAGUUACCUCCUAAGAGAUAAGUGGAGCACCCUAAAUAUAUGUUUCUAUUGAUUGUAAUAUUACUUUGAUUUUCUAUUUCUAGGCUGGCUUGGCAGGUGAGUAUAGGCAGAUCCACCUGGACAAGCCCGGUUACAGAUGGGACAACAACAAUGGCACCGUCCCUAUCAACAGGCCCUUUACGUGGUACAAGGUAUUAUAUAGGUUGAUAUGUAUUAUCCAUAUUGUAUUGAGCUACGAAAUAGAAGUAAUUCCCUUGUUUUAUUUUUCUAUUUAGACUACCUUCCAAGCUCCAGCCGGUCAGGACACGGUGGUGGUGGACCUCCUAGGGCUGAACAAGGGCGUGGCAUGGGUGAACGGGAACAACCUUGGCCGUUACUGGCCAUCAUAUACAGCGGCGGAGAUGGGUGGCUGCCAUCACUGCGACUACCGCGGAGUUUUUCAGGCUGAGGGCGAUGGACAAAAAUGCCUCACGGGAUGCGGUGAGCCGUCGCAACGGUACUAUCAUGUUCCACGCUCCUUCCUCAAGAAUGGCGAGCCCAACACACUCAUUCUCUUCGAGGAGGCCGGCGGCGACCCUUCACAGGUCAUCUUCCACUCUGUCGUGGCAGGCUCUGUGUGCGUGUCCGCUGAGGUUGGGGAUGCCAUCACACUAUCCUGCGGUCAACACAGCAAAACCAUCUCGACCAUCGACGUGACCAGCUUUGGUGUUGCGCGUGGUCAGUGCGGCGCCUAUGAGGGUGGGUGCGAGUCCAAGGCUGCGUACAAGGCUUUCACAGAAGCUUGCCUUGGGAAGGAGUCAUGCACAGUGCAAAUCAUUAAUGCUCUCACCGGCUCCGGGUGCCUCUCCGGCGUCCUCACCGUCCAAGCCUCAUGUUGAUGCAUUAUUGGGGUCUAAUAAUUAGAUUUGGUUUGUUUAGAUUAUGCUCUAGGAAAACCUGGUGCAUGUAUUAAGUUCAAUAUUAAACUAGAGUCUUAUAUAUGUGAGUUAAAUUGGAGUGUGAUCAAGUAAUCUUAGAUUGUGUGAUAUUGGAACAAUUUGCAUCUAUAUAGUAUUUUUGUGAGUGAAAAAAUUAUUGUCUUUACUUUGUUUCGUGGAAUUAAAGAAUAUUUUUUGGGGGUUUAUAAUUUUGUAAGGGUAGUUAUUUCUGCUAUUUCACUAUUAAAAUAGAUUCCUAUAAAAAAAAUUCCUAUAUACCCAGUUCAAAAAGUUCAAAAGAGUAAUAUAAUAAGAAUCACCAACAGCAUACGUACAUGGCCCCUAAUCUCAGGUUUUGGCGGAUUUUUGCUAAAACCACAAUCCAACAGAUUCCCUACUCGCAUGUGCCGAUCUACGAAUUCCCUACUCCAGAUUUUUCGCUCUCCACAUCUAGAGAAUUGAUUUGGCUUCCAAUCGCCUAAUCCAGCACAUUCGCGCAGAGGAGGCGAAAUGUUCCCAUCCAGCUCAUCAUCUUCGCGCCCUCGUUCGCGGCAUCAUCUUUGCGCCCUCGUUCGCCGUGAGGUCGUUCCUCUGUUCCACUGCCAGCGUCCUCUUCCUUGAAGGCGACUGGAAUGCCGUCAUCGCUCCCCCAAGCUUCUUUGGCGUCAGCUUUCUUUCCGGGGGCGACACAUGCUAUCUGAUUGCUAUGGCGGUGCUAGGCAGAGGACAACAACGCUGUCACGGGUUUCCCAAGCGUGAGCGCCGUCUCAAUUCCGGCCGCCGCCUCGGUUCAGCCUGAAUCGGUCUGUCACCCCAACAGCUGCUGAAAUUGCUGCUGCAGCUGUGAGAUGCUGCUGAAAUUGCUGGUGCUGCUGAAAUUUUGCAAGGGCAGCAGCUGCUGCUGUGUGCUGUCACGGGGAGGGCGAUUGGCGGUGGGGAGAGGGGCGAGAGGAAGCGGCGCUGCUUGGGUACCGCCAAGGGGAAUCGCGAUCACGAGUGCCGUAUAAACGAAAAACGAAAAAAAAUAUGUUGGUGGUUCAACAGAAGGGUCCACUUUUUAAGUUUUAGGAAUUAGAUUUAGGUGUUGUGUUGAAAAGAUCAGUUUUUCAACUUCCUAUUUUCAGUUUAGGAAACCAAAAACAUUUUUUUUUUGAAGGAGAUUAUACGAGGACUGUUGGUGAUGCUCUAAGAAGGAAGAUAAUUUUAGAGUUCUCUGUAGUCAUCUAUCCAUUUUAAUUGAAAUGUAGUAUGAGUCGUCUCACCAAGUUGGCUCUAGCUUAAUUAGGCUCUCAACUUUUUUUUUUGUGACCUCAGCAAAAAAACCUAUAUUUUGAGUAUGGAAGUUUCUAGCAUCUAUGCCUUGAGGAUUGUCGUUCUGCAUGCCGCAAGCUAGGCUUUGAUUGAAAUGUUGUUGAUCUGAAUGAUAUCGCAGCUUCAUUGUACGGUAAAGAUAAUUACCGUACAAGGGUUAUUAUUGCAAAUUGAAAAUCGGAAGAUAAUUAAGUAACAAGUGUCAACAGUACGGCAGCUACAAAACGUCCUAUACUACACAAAAGCAAAGAAGCAAAUCAAACUUGUUGCUACGUAUGUUCCUGUAGUCUUCAUAAGCAGGGAGUCUUAACUUCACAUUUACGUACACUUACACCUUACUGAUUGAUGGUAAAGCGUGGUCAAUCCAAAUGUUCUGAAAAUGACAAAAAAAAAAGACCUGAAUUAACUAGUUUACGGAAAGAGUAAUUAGAUCACAAGCUAGCCUGCUCGUUAGUUUACAUUCCUACUUGUCAGGCAUGACAAACAUCACUAAAAAAAAAUAGUCGCAAUCUACCCUGAUCCAUUGCAACGGCCGAUGGGCAUCGAGCAAGCACAUAGCAGCAGUAGAAUACCCAAGGAAAAAGUACACCGAAGGUGCCUCAACCUGUCAUCGAGUUACAAAAUUAUCCCUAAACCACAAAAUCACAUAUAGAGAAGAUCCCUCAACUUAUAAAAUUGUUCACUUUAAGUCCUUUAGUGGUUUUGACCCUGGUUUUAUUUGACGUGGCGGCUAAGUCAGUGUGGGACCCACGUGAGCCCCACAUGUCAGGGUGUCCAUGUCAACACCCUCUCUCUUUCCCCUCUUCUCUCCCUUCCUCCUCUCCACUCUCUCUCUCUCUCUCUCUCACUUUUAUCCUAAUUUGGGGCAGGCCGGCCGGUGGGUGGGGAGGUCGCCGAGGCGAGGCAGGAGAGGAGAUCUGUUGACUGGCGAUGCGGCGGCGGCGGCGGCUGUGACGUUGGGGAAGGGAGGCGACUCGCGGCAGCGGCCGGCGAAUCGGCGGCGGUGGUGGCGACGACACGGGAGAAGGGAGAGCGUCAUCGCGUGUGCGACCUCGGUGUCGAACCAUAGGAGAGGCCCGGGAGGUGUCGGCGGUGGUGGCGGCUGCGACGCGGGAGAAGGGGAUGGUGUCACCGCGCGGGCGAGCUAGAGGCUGAAUAUCCCUGUGGCAGCGAGGUAAGCGACCUCGACGGCAUUGCGCCUGCUGUCGAUGACCCACGUGAGCGCGCACUCGUCUUCGCCAUCCUCAAGCUCCACCUCCCAGCACUCACCCACGACGCCCGCUGCAUGCCCGCGUCGUUUCCGCCUCGCUGCCGCCUCCCCGGAGGAGCCAAGCCUCAGAUGGUGAUGGCGACGGCGAGGUGGCUCGAGGGCGCCGUGACGACAAGCAGCAGGGAUGGGGAGAGAGAGGAUACCGUUGUCGUUGUGUCGCCCAUCGCCAUAGGGGGAGGCCCUCUCCUCCCUUCCCCCACCUCAUCCCCGCCAUCACUGGAGGAGCCAAGCCUCAUAUGGGGAUGGCGACGACGAGGUGGCUUGAGGGCGCCGCGACGACGAGCAGUGGGGAUGAUAGAGUGAGGACACCGCCAUCAUCGUGUCGCCCGUCGCCAUGUGGGGAGGCCCUCUCCUCCCUUCCCCCAGCUCAUCCCCGCUGCCGCCGGAGGAACCAGGCCUUGGGAUUGGUAUGCCGACAGCAAGGUGGCCUAGGGAUGCCACGGCGAUGAGCAGCGGGGAGGGGGAGUGCGACAGGAGAGCGAGGACACCGCUGUCGCCGUGUCACCCGUCGCCAUGGGAGGAGGUCCACCUGCUCCCGCGUUGUCAUCGCCGACGCUGCCACCGCCGCGUCGCUCGUCGUCGGUCGCCGAACGUUGGACCUCCUUCUCUCCCGCCUCAGCUAGCUGGCCUCCUCCCCACCCACCGACCGGCCUGCUCCACAUGAGGAUAAAAGUGAGAGAGGAGGAACGGAGAGAAGAGAAAGAGAAAGAGGGUGCUGACGUGGACACCCUGACAUGUGGGGCCCACGUGGGUCCGACGCCGUCUCAGCCACCACGUCAGACAAAACCGAGGUCAAAACUGCCUGAGGACGCAAAGUGACCCAGUUUCGUAAGUUGAGGGAUGACAUAUAUUUGGUUUAAUAGGUGGGGGACGAUUUUGUAACUUGAUGACAAGUUGAGGGACCUUCGGUGUACUUUUUCCAAUGCCCAAUAUCAUAGGGGAAGCCGACAGUAAGAAUGGUGUCUCCUGGAGUGGAUUGGUGGGCGCUUGGAGGCUCAAGCGGUGGCAGUUGAGGCGGGGACAGGCUGCCAGCUCUGGACAUCACAUGAAUGUGUGUUGGCACUCUUUAUGCUCAGGAAAAAUAGUCCACAAGUGAAUGAGAACCGCUCAAGUUUUCAACCUAGAGUAUUCCACGGUAUCGAAUCAACGAGAAAUAAAAUGUAUACUUAUGUUUCCAGGACUAAGCCAAGAGUGUAGUUUUAAUUUGAGAGGAUCCUCUAGCCUAAAUGACUUACUUGGGCUUCAUGUCACUACGCCUAAAUGAGCUAACUAUUCAGUACAAAUACUUUGUUGUGCUUGCUUAAGGCAUAAGAGUAUUCAUCAAAGAAUGGGGUGAACACUUAUCACCCAAUUUAUAUGAAUGUUACUAGGGCUAAUGUGGUAGACCUCAAUGGAUAGCCAUGGUUGUCACCACCUGGCUGGCUACGUCCUUUGUUGCUCUAACCUGCCUUCCUAGACAAAACUAUGCCGAUCACCACAACCAUACAUGGAAUUACUAUUCAACUUAUUUGCAAUCAUAAGCAAUGCAACCAACACAAACAAAGAAUGGAUACUUUAGGUAAAAUAGACUAGGAACCAACAAGCAAGCAAGUUACUAAUAACAUGCUAUCCGAUCAAAAAGACUAAAAGUUUACUCCCGUGGAGCCGCAUCUUUGAGGAACAAGUCAGACGAGGAGCUCACUUCCCUGUCUCCUAUGAACUUCUUCCUCACCCACUCUCAACUCUAUUCUACAAUUUUGGCAGCAUGAGGCAUUCUCCUUGAGCUGAUCUCCACUCCAAGUGUUAUCGAUAUCCUUUUUCAAAGUGUACUAGUAGGAGGGGCUAUUAGCAGCCAAAUGAGGGUAGGUCUAUGGCUGGCCAGUCGGCUCAAUAAAAGGGGUGCUGGGGAGGGGGGGAGGGGGGCUGGCACCACCUUAUGUUAGUGGUUGGCCGGUCAACAAGGGUGACUGGCUGGUCGGUUCAUGGACAGCUAAGAUCAUUCCCCUGAGCCAGUUGUAAGUUGGUUAGCAGUCGUUGGAGAGUCGACAUGUGUUGGCAGCUGUUAAAUACCAAUUUUGUGCCGCCAAUACCUGCAUAAAUAUGAAAUUAUGAAACAUUCAACAUAGUGAUAGGGUUUAAUUGUAACAAUUUCCACGAGUGUUGGUGUAUAUUUGUAUGCAGGUGACAAACUACCAACAUUGAGAAGAAAUAUACAUAAAAGUGGAGGAGAAUUUCAUCCAUUGAGUCUUGGGCCCGCAAACUCAUCGAAAUACUAGAAACUGGGCCCAAAGAAUAUCAUUGGGCCAAGGAGUCAAUUGUCAGGGCCUAGGAGGAAGCCCACUGCCAGGGGAGCUGGCCAGGGGUCAGGCGACCUCUGGGUUCGGCAGACUCCGGCCUGGCCCAGCCCAAGUACAACCGCCCAUGACAGGUAUGACCAACUUCUCUAUGGCGGCUGUGAUUGGUAUUGAUGCUCCUAACUGUAGGAUCGAAACACAAUAACUAAGCCAACCAGAGGGGGUUGAAUGGUUGGUAUAUCCAAAAACCCAAACUUUUUGCGGAAUAGAAGGUUACCCUCAAAUUCGAUGUAGAUCAGUCUGAUCGGAGUAGUCCCGGUUGGAGGAAUUCUGAAGUUCUCGGUACUUUCCUCUUUUCUUUUUGUACAUUGUCAAUUACUUUGCUUUAAUAUAUAAUAUCUUUAUCGAAUAAUUGAGAUUUACUUUGUGCGGUUUAUUUCUUAGUUCCAUUAACGUACCGGAAUAUUGUGCACUAGAAUUAGUGUUUAAUUUAAUGUUUGAUCGACAUUAGAGUAGUAUUUAAAUAGUAUAGACAUAGUAUCUAUAUGUCAUAGCCUGAAUUUCCAUUUCAGGAUUUAUAAAUUAUUUAAUAUAUUAUUCUUAGAAUUUAUAUUAAAAUUUCAUUAAUUUACAAGUGAAGUUAAAUGUGGGAACUAAAAUUUCCUAAAUAUAAAGCAUGGCUGGACUUAAUUUUUAUUAAAUUCUCCAUGAUUAAUUGUACUCUCUGGAAUUUUCUCAGAUUUUUUCAUAGCUCAAUUCCUAAGUUUAAUAAUACAAAGAACAUUUAAGAAAUUAUUUAAAUAAUAAAUUAUUCAUUAAAUGAUCUGGUUUUAAUUUUAUCAAAUACUUUGAGUGCCCAAUUAUUUUCAGAAUUUUUAUUGAAUUAUUUGAGCAUUGAAAAUAUUUUUAGCAAUUCAAAGAUUAUUUCGGUGAUUAAUUUAAUUAGAAAAGUAAUUAAAAUCAACUUUUCCUUUUCGGGCCGAAUUAGGAAAAGUCCUCUCACUCUUUGCCCAAUCUCCUCUCGGCCUGGAGCCCUCUCCCUCUCUCUCCAUCGGCGCUGGCAUGAAGUCCCCACUAACCGUCUUCGACCGCGCAGCCAUGGACUUGUACGUCCCUUCCGUCUACGCCUGGAACACCGACGCCAGUGGUGCGGAGGCGCCUUCCAACGACAAGAUCAAGAACAGCCUCGCCGCCGUGCUUGCCAGGUUUCCUCACCUUGCCGGGAGGUUCUUCGGCGUUGACGAGCACGGCCGGAGGUACUUCGACCUCAACGACGCUGGGGCUCUCGUCCUCGAAGCCACAGCGUCCGCCAGCCUUGCCGACGCUUUGUCGCACGACGUCCCCGCGCACGUCAACGAGCUCUACCCCAAGGCCGACAAGGUAGUUUACCAAAAUGGCAACAAGUAGCAUAGGCAUAAUUAGCUAGCUCUAAUAAAUUAUGUGUACUCCUGUGGAAAGUAAGCUAGUACGUAACAACGUUCAAAAUGAUAUCGAGCUGGAUUAUGACACGAAUAUAUGCUUGGUGUUAGGAAACGAUAGACGAACAAACGAUAAAGAACAAUAGAUCAAUCAUAGAAGACACGAGAUUUAACGUGGAAAACCCUCCCAAAAAUAGGAGAGAAAAAACCACGGGCGGCAGCCAGCAAAAUAUCUUCACUAUAUCUGAGGUGAGGUUACAUCGCCGCACGGCGGCUUACAAGAGGUAUAUAUACAGUGGAACCCUAAAAGGGAUGACAAUCCAUACGGACCCUAAAAGGGAGGCUACGGCAGAAGCUGGCCUUUAUUAAGUGCAAAUGAAUUUGGAUCAAAACUCAACAAACUCCACCUUGAGACAAAUUCCUUCUUGUAGUAUGAAUCAAUCCUUCACCCUAAACACAACAAAGACAAAAAAACACUUUCGGCGCCAAAUAGCCUCUCAGGCUAAACCACUAUACCAACUAAGCUUGAGCAAAGCUCAAACUUAGCAACAGUUUCAGACUUUGUCAUCAUAUCAGCAGGAUUAUCAUGAGUACCUAUCUUGCAUACCUUUAGCUUACCUUACGCGACUACAUCGCAAACAUAAUGGUACUUGAUAUCAAUGUACUUUGUCCUCUCAUGAAAUAUUUGAUCUUUGGUGAGGCAUAUAACACUUUGACUGUCACAAAACAAGUUAAUGUAAGAAUCAACUCUACAAAGCUCAGCAAACAAUCCUUUCAGCCAAACUGAUUCUUUACAUGCUUCAGCAAUAGCCAUGUAUUCUGCUUCAGCGGUAGACUGGGCAACAACAGGCUGCAAUGUUGCCUUCCAACUCACAGCACAACUACCAAUGGUAAACACAUAACCUGUGAGUGACCUUCUCUUAUCCAAAUCUGCAGCAAAAUCUGAAUCCACAUAUCCAACAAGCCCCUUAUCAGUCCUGCCAAACUUCAAGCAAGCAUCAGCUGUGCCUCUGAGGUACCUGAAAAUCCACUGAACAGCUUUCCAGUGUUCUUUACCAGGAUUAGCCAUGUAUCUACUAACCAAACUCAUAGCAUGAGAUAAAACUGGACGGGAGCAAACCAUGGCAUACAUCAAAGAACCAACAACACUAGAAUAUGGAACUCUAGACAUGUAUUCUACAUCCUCAUCAGUACUAGUACAUUGUAAAGCUGAUAAUUUAAAAUGAGGUGCAAUAGGAGUGCUAACAGGCUUUGCAUCAUGUAUGUUAAAACGCUGAAGAACCUUCUUAAUGUAGCUUUGCUGACUAAGAAAUAACAAACCAGAAUUUAUGUCUCUAGUGAUUUCCAUACCUAGAAUUUUCUUAGAAGCAACAAGAUCCUUCAUAUCAAACUCACUACUCAAUUGUUUCUUCAAUGUAGUGAUUUGUUCCUUGCUCUUGGCAGCAAUCAGCAUAUCAUCAACAUAUAACAGCAAGUAUAUAUGUGAUCCAUUAACAAAUUUAAUAUACACACAGCUAUCAAAUUCAGACCUCUUAAAGCCAUGUGACAACAUAAAGGAAUCAAACCUUUUAUACCAUUGUCGAGGAGACUGUUUCAAACCAUACAAAGAUCUUUUCAACUUGCAAACAUCAUCCUCCUUACCAGGUACUAUAAACCCUUCUGGCUGGUCCAUGUAUAUCUCCUCCUCAAGCUCUCCAUGUAAAAAUAUUGUCUUCACAUCUAACUGCUCAAGCUCAAGAUCAUGCAUAGCAACAAUACAGAAGAAUGUGCGAAUUGAACUAUGCUUUACAACUGGAGAGAACACAUCAUUAUAAUCAACGCCAGCAAUUUGACUGAAACCUUUUGCUACUAACCUUGCAUUAAACCUCGGAGGCCCGCUAGGAGAUAAACCCUCCUUUCUCUUGAAGAUCCAUUUACAAUGAACAGGCUUCUUCUGUUUUAGCAAGUGCACAAGCUCCCAUGUGCCAUUCUUCUCAAGAGACUGCAUCUCCUCCUGCACAGCUUCAGUGUAUGUGGCUGGCUCAAGAGUAUUCUCCACCUGUUCAGCACAACUAAAAGCAUAAUAAACCAUAUCACAUUCCUCAAUAAGGCGGACUGGAGCUCCACAACUCCUCUUUGUUCUGCGAUGUGCAAUAGGUUCAUCUUGUGGCUGCAAAACAGGAGGUGAGUGCUGAACAGUAUCAUUAACAUCAUUACUAACAAUUUCAGUUUCCUGAUCAUCCACGUGCUCCACCUGCACGCUAACAUAUUGCUGCUCCUCAUCUGAACCACCUGGUAUGACAUCUAUGGGCAAGCUGUCAUUAAACAUAACAUAUUUAUUGAAAACAACACUCCUUCUCAUGAAGGUCUUAUUAGUUUCAGGAUUCCAUAACUUAUAUCCUUUUACUCCUGAACCAUAACCAAGAAACAGACCUGAGCUCUAGGCUCUAAUUUUCCAUUAUCAACAUGAGCAUAAGCAGUGCAUCCAAAAACUCUCAAUUGUGAAUAAUCAGCAGGCAUACCAGACCAUACCUCAAUGGGAGUUUCCUUAUUAAGUAGGAUAGAAGGCGACCUGUUGAUCAAGUAGCAGGUGGUGUUAGCAGCCUCUGCCCAAUAAUGCUUGUUCAUGCGAGCGUUGGACAGCAUACAACGAGCCUUGGAGAUGAUGGUUCUAUUCAUGCGCUCAGCCACACUAUUCUGCUGUGGAGUGUACGGGAUGGUGUGAUGCCUACCGAUGCCUUCCUUCCUGCAGUAAUCAUCAAAAGCAUCCGAACAGAAUUCACCACCAUUGUCAGUGCGAAGUACUUUUACCUCCUUUUCAGCUUGCCUUUCUAUCAUGACUUUCCACUCUUUAAAAGCAGCAAAUGUAUCAUCUUUAUGUUUCAAGAAAUAAGGCCACACUUUUCUAGAGUAAUCAUCAAUAAUGGUAAGCAUAUAACAAGCGCCACCAAGAGAGGGCUUACGAGAAGGCCCCCACAAAUCAGCAUGUACAUAAUCAAGUAUACCUUUGGUGCGAUGAACUGAGGUAUUGAAUUUUACCCUCUUGUGCUUACCAAAAACACAGUGCUCACAGAACUUCAUGUUACCUUGAGUGCAGCCAUCCAACAGGUUCCUCUUCAUCAAUUCUGCCAUACCAAGUUCACUCAUAUGUCCAAGACGCAUAUGCCACAGGUUAGUCUUACUAGGUUCAUCUUUAGAAACAGCAGCAGCGGUAAGAGAACCAUGUAAUGUACUUCCUCUAAGGACAUAUAAGUUUGCAGAAUUCAUAUCACCAAUCAUAUAAACAAGAGAACCUUUCGAUACCUUUACAACUCCACCUGAACCGGAGUAUUUGUAUCCUUCUGCAUCAAGUGUGCUGAGAGAGAUGAGAUUUCUCGCCAUCCCUGGUAUGUGUCUCACAUCUUUCAGCGUGCGUGUCAUGCCAUCAUGUGUCUUGAUCUGAACGGAGCCAAUGCCCAUGAUCUCACGUGGGUUAUUAUCUCCCAUGCGCACAACAUCUCCAUUCUGCACAGACUUGUGAGAACUAAACCAAUCUCUAUUAAUGCAGAUAAGAAACAAACAUGCAGUAUCAAGUAUCCAUUCAUCAUGACUAGCAACACAACCAGCAAAAAAGACAAGACAAUCUGCUGAAUCAGAGUUUUCAGCACUGGUAACAACAGAGGCCUUACCAUCAGAUUUCCUUUUCUCCUUAUUUUGCAGCUUCCAACAUUCUUCAAUGAAGUGAUUUUUCUUUUUGCAAUACUUACAGAACUUUUUACCUCUGGACUUAGAACGGCCUCUACUCUGGCUCUUGUCACGAUCAUUGCUGUCGUUGUAGGUUCUUUGCUCAGAUCUGCCUCUGACCUGCAAUGCUUUGCCCUUAGAGGAAGACGCAUCAGACUGAACCAUACCUUUCAUCUUCUCCCUGUUUUGGAGCGCCUCAUAAACUUCCGCUAGGGUUAGUUCAUCACGGCUUAAAAGUAUGGUGUCACGAAAAUUUGCAUAUAAACUAGGCAGUGAGCAUAACAGUAAAAGACCUAAAUCUUCAUCAUCAAACUGUACCUCCAUCGACACUAGGUCGGCAAUGAUCUCCUUAAAGACCGAUAUGUGGUUCAACACAGAACCACUCUCCUGCAACUUGUGCGAGAACAACUUCAUCUUGAUAUGCAUCUUACUGGUUAGAUCUUUAGACAUGCAGAUCGAUUCCAGUUUGAACCAAAGUUCUGCAGCAGUCUUUUCCUGCAACACUUUUUGCAAAAUAUCAUUAGAUAGAUGAAGUUGGAUCAACGACAGAGCCUUACGAUCUUUCCGCUUCUCCUCAGCAGUCCACUCAGUCGUUUUCUUCUUCCCGAAGCUUUCCAGGGCCUCAUCAAGAUCCGAAGUUUGCGCCAGAACAGCCCGCAUCUUUACUUGCCACAGCGAGAAUCUCGUCUUGUAGUCUUGCAGCGGUAGAUCAUACUUCAUCGCGAAACCCUAAUCUGAGAACAAGCUCUGAUACCAAUUGUUAGGAAACGAUAGGCGAACAAACGAUAAAGAACAAUAGAUCAAUCACAGAAGACACGAGAUUUAACGUGGAAAACCCUCCCAAAAAUAGGAGAGAAAAAACCACGGGCGGCAGCCAGCAAAAUAUCUUCACUAUAUCUGAGGUGAGGUUACAUCGCCGCACGGCGGCUUACAAGAGGUAUAUAUAUGGUGGAACCCUAAAAGGGAUGACGAUCCAUACGGACCCUAAAAUGGAGGCUACGAUAGAAGCUGGCCUUUAUUAAGUGCAAAUGAAUUUGGAUCACAACUCAACACUUGGUACGUUGCAGGAGCGUGCCGACGAGCCGCUGUUGCAGGUGCAGCUGACACGGGACACGUGCGGCGGGCUGGUGAUCAGUGUCACUGCCCACCACCAUGUCGCCGACGGCAAGUCCAUGAGCGUCUUCUUCGUCGCGUGGGCGGCAGCCGUGCACACCCGUGAGACCCUCCUCCCGACGCCGUUCCAUGACCGUGGGGUCGUCGUCGUGCCGUCUCGCCUGCCGCAGCCGGCGUUCGACCACCGGAACAUCGAGUUCAACGGCGGCGAGCACGGCUAGAACAACUCCUACGGCGCCCUCCCAUUGCACAGGAUCGGGAACUUCUCCGUGCACUACCCCGAGGAGUUCGUCGCCCGGCUCAAGGCCCGGGUGGGCACGCGGUGCAGCACGUUCCGGUGCCUCCUGGCGCACGCGUGGAAGAUCACGGCGGUGCGGGGCCUCUCGCUAGAGGAGUUCACGCAGGGUCAGGAUCGCGGUGAACUGCCGUGGCUGUGCUAGCCCAGCGGUGCCCAUGGACUACUUCGGCAACAUGGUGCUCUGGGCGUUCCCGAGGAUGCGGGUAAGAGACCUCCUCUCCUCCAGCUACGCCACGGUGGUCGGCGUCAUCAGCGACGCUGUGGCGCGCGUCGACGAGCGGUACAUCCUAUCGUUCAUCAACUUCGGGGAGGUGGCCGCCGGUGAGGAGCUGAGUACACCGACGGCGGCGAAGCCCGCACGGUGCUCUGCCCGGACCUUGAGGUGGACAGCUGGCUAGGGUUCCGGUUCCAUGAGCUCGACUUCGGCUGUGGGCCGCCGUGCGCAUUCCUGCCACCCGAUGUGCCCGUCGAGGGGAUCUUGAUGAUCUUCGUGCCGUCAUGCGCGGCGAAGGGUGGCAUUGAGAUGUUCGUGGCGCUCGACGACAGCCACGUCAAGGCCUUCAGCCAGAUAUGCUACUCCAUGGACUGAUCACAAUUUUCAUCAAUGGAUGCAUUUGGACUAUUUGCCAUCUUCUCCAAUACCACACUCCCAAAUGCCAUCUUCCCAAAAAAAACUUGAAUAAAUUGCCAUUGGUCCCCCUACAUUAGUUGAUUUCAUGCCAUUUUGGUCUAUUAUUGACGCUACAUCAGCAGCCACCUCAUGACACUAUAAAAAAAUGACAUUGAUACCCCUGCCCUUUCAGUCCAAAUUUAACACAGCCGACAGCAAAUAAAACAUAGCCAACUUAACUGAUAGAUGCACAAUAAUUUCACAAGCAAACACAGCUUCGAACAUACAAACAGAACUUGCAAACGCUAGACAGAUCAAUCUAAAAAAAAGAAUAACAGGAAAAAAUUCGAUGCCAAACCAAAGAGAGGGAAAGACGAAGGAUAUAUUGUUCUUUUACCUGGGAUUGUAUCGUCAUUUGGCCACCGCCGGCAGAGUCGCUGGAGCCAGCGACGCGAAGUCGGACGAGGAGUAGGGACGCAAAGCCUGGAGCAGGGAGCGAUACAAAUAUCGGAGUUUUUCUCAUACUCCUAGUGAGCAAGGGCAAAACAGGGAUUUUGCCCCAUCCAAAGCAGAAGUAGCAUAAAAAAAGGAAUAAAAUGGCUGGGAAUCAACAUAUAUAUCUGGUGGCAAUUUAUCUAAACUUUUUGGGAAGAUGGCAUUUGAGAGUGUGGCAUUGGAGAAGAUAGCAAAUAGUUAAAAAUCUCUUAAUUAGGGGCGGAUCCAGGAACAAAAAGUUAGGGGGCUCAACAUAUCGAGUACACCAGUAUAAAUACAUUAUGUCUAGGGUUUAAUCAUUCGGUUUAGUGUUUUGUAUCGGUGGCGGCCGCAAUACUGGAAUUUAUUUCGGAAAUUUCAGUUCGAAAUUAUACGAAUUUUUGAAUAAAAUUUGACCAAAUUUGAACAAAAUAUUACAAAAAUCAUGAAAAAAUGAAAAAAAAUAAAAAAAUUGACCGAAAUAGUAUCAUAUCGGGGGUCCAAUAAAAUCGAUCGAUCCAAAAUUGUGAACCCAGAUCAUUCUAAUAUAAGAUUACAAUACCACAACAGUACAUUGUAAUUGUAAGAGGUUUUAUAUGAAAACAUUGAGAAAUAAUACGAAAAACAUCACAACUUCACAAGACAAUUGAUUGGUUUGCGCAUUCCUGGAUCACUAAUAAUAUCGGAGCAACAGAACUUCACCCUUGCCAUUAUUUGUUCCAUUCACAUCAUCCUCUGCAUUAGGAGUACUGCUACCUGCUGCCACUUGAAUAAUAGUUGAACAUGUAAAACAGCGAAAGUGAGAUGGGUUGAACGUCGCCCUUUGUUUCGGUGCGACGGCUGCGUGUUAUAUUGGCGCACCAAUCGGCGCUGAGAUUACAGGAUUAUAUAGCCUCUAAUCUAGCCGAGAUUUGAUCUAAAGGAUAUACAUCUUAUCUAAACUAACAAUCUAAAUCUCAGCUAGAUCAGUUAGGCAAGAUAUACAUUAAUACAUGCAUGUUGUUUAACACUCCCCCUCAAUCUAAACUUCUAAGGUUGAGAUUGUGCCGAAACAGCUUUAAUUGUCUCUCUGUUAAGGACUUUGUAAAUCCAUCCGCAAAUUGAUCUUCUGUCAUAUAGACAACCUGCCCAAUCUGCAUCAGUGAAACCAUUAACAAGAAAUGAAGGAGAUUUAGUAAUCUUAAGACCUAGCUUUGUUGUUUGCUGGAGAUAUCUCAGGAUUCUCUUUACAGCUGCCCAAUGAACUGUGGUAGGAGCAUGUAGAUACUGGCACACCUUAUUUACUGAGAAUGAGAUGUCAGGUCUGGUCAAUGUCAGAUACUGUAGUGCUCCUACUAUACUUCUGUACCUUGUAGCAUCUCCAGAUGCAAGAACUUCUCCUUGAUGCAAGGAUAAUUUUUCUGAUACUGACAUAGGUGUGCUUACAGGCUUACACUUAUCCAUAUUAACUCAUUUCAGUAAAUCUGUCACAUACUUCUCUUGAGAUAGUAUUAAACCAUUACAUACCUUGGUGGCUUCUAUUCCAAGGAAAUAAUGAAGGUCUCCAAGAUCCUUCAGAGCAAACUCUUUGUUCAGGUCUUGUAACAAAGCUGCAGUAGCACUUUGCAUAGAACUAGCAACAAAUAUGUCAUCAACAUAAACCAAGACAAACAUACUCACUACACCCUUAUUAUAGAAAAAUAGAGAUGUAUCAGCCUUGGAUGCUUGAAAUCCUAGUUCUUGCAAUUUUGUGCUCAACCUAGAGUACCAUACUCUAGGGGCUUGUUUAAGACCAUACAAAGCCUUAUCUAAUUUGCAAACAUGAUUAGGAAGAGAAGACACCUCGUACCCUAGAGGUUGUCUCAUAUAAACCUCCUCCUCUAGGAUGCCAUGCAGAAAAGCAUUGCUUACAUCAAGCUGACGAAGGCUCCAUCCUCUAGAUACAGCAAUAGACAGAAUAACUCUAAUUGUAGCAGCUUUAACAACAGGACUGAAUGUAUCUUCAUAGUCUAUGCCAUAUCUUUGUUUAAAGCCCUUAGCAACUAGUCUAGCUUUAUACCUGUCUAGACUUCCAUCAGCUUUUCUUUUAAUCUUGUAUACCCAUUUACAAUCUAUAACAUUUCUAUCUGAUUUUGCUGGAACAAGGUGCCAAGUUUUAUUCUUCAUUAAGGCUGUGUAUUCAGAGUCCAUAGCAUGUUUCCAGUUCUUAUCAUUUAAAGCCUCAUGAAGGUUUUGUGGUUCACCAGAUGAAGUAAAACAUGAGUAUUUAACUGUUCCAUCAGUAUAUACCUUUUCCUUGCGGAUACCACUUUGUAACCUUGUUCUGGGCUUUGCUGCGACCAUUGAUUGAUCUUCUGUGGCAUGAGUGGCUGCUUCUCCUCCAAAGUGCAUGUCCUGCAUCACAGAGGAUCUCAAUUCAUGCAAUUGAUUACCUGCCAAUGUCAGAUAUCUGUCUCCAUGUGUGGAUUGACUACCAGUGCUAUGCACCGGAGACCCACUGUUGUGCAGCCGCGUUUCGCCUCCUGGUUGGCACGGCGAUGAUGAGCGGCGAGUGCUGGCGCCGGUGGCGGACGUGUCAUGCGCAGGUUGGUCUGUUGGGUCAGUCUGCUACCCAAUUUUCGAAGCCGAACCCGAGUCUGCUGCUACAUCCACAUUCCCUGACGUACCCAGAUCAUCAUUAGUUGUAUCUGUCGUAUUUCCUCCAUCUAUAUCUGCAUUCUCAUCAGUCUGAUCAGAUGAAACAUUAUAAAAAUCAAGCAUAUGGUUGUUAUGUUCUCCCCCUUGAUGAGAAGUGUGAGAUAAAAGAUGUGAGGGUAGAAGGGCAAUUUCACUGCGUAGUCUUGAACCCGCAUUGGAGUGAAAUUUAGAUAAAGGAAAAACAUUUUCAUCAAAGACGACAUCUCUACAAAUAUAGAUUCUUCCCGUGGCUAUGUCAAGGCACUUAUAUCCAUUGUGGGUGUGGCUUGGGCCAAGAAAAACACAUUGCAUGGAGCGGAAUUGCAAUUUAUGAGCAUUAUAAGGGCGAAGAUUUGGCCAACAAGCACAACCAAAAAUACGGAAAGAAGAAUAGUCAAGUUUAUGGUUAAAUAGGCAUUCUAGAGGUGUGUCAUAUUGAAGAAUUCUGGAGGGAAUGCGAUUAAUAAUAUGAGUGGCAGCAAGAAAGGCUUCAUCCCAAUAUUUAAGUGGCAUAGAUGCAUAUGCAAGAAGAGCUAGACCAACUUCAACUAUGAGUCGAUGCUUCCUUUCAGCUGAACCAUUUUGUUGGUGAGUGUGAGGACAUGACACAUGAUGAGAGAUUCCGAUUUUUUCAAAGAAGGAGUUUAAUUUUUGAUAUUCUCCUCCCCAAUCGGUUUGCAUAGCUAUAAUUUUGCGAUCAAAAAGCCGCUCAACAAGCUGCUGAAAGUCAUGAAACUUUUCAAAGACAUCAGAUUUAUGCUUGAGGAAAUAUAUCCAAGAAAACUUGCGAUAGCUAUCGAUGAAGCUAACAUAAAAUUUCUUUCCUCCAAAAGAGGUGGAGGCCGGCCCCCAUACAUCUGAAUAAAUAAGUUCUAGAGGUUUAUUGGACACACUCAUAGAAUUGGAAUACGGUAAUUGAUGGCUCUUGGCCUUUUGACAAGCAUCACACACUGACUCUUUAUUAGAUUCUCUAAGACACGGUAACUUAUUUGAACUAAUGACCUUCAUAACAAUGGGAAUGGAAGGAUGCCCGAGCCGACUGUGCCACCGCUCAAGCGAUGGAGCAACUGCAAAGGCCUGCUUGGUGGAUGAUGUGGACGGAAGCGGAUAGAGACCAUGGCGGCGUGGCCCCUUAAGAACCGUGCUCCUCGUGGUUCGAUCCUUAAUCAAAAAAUACUUAGAGUGAAUUUCCACAAAAACAGAGUUAUCAGAGGCAAGUUUAGUUGCUGAUAUAAGAUUUUUAGCGGCCUGUGGCACAUGAAGAACAUUAUUAAGAUGUAAAGGACGAGUUGGGGUAUGAACUAUAGCAUGACCAAUGUGCUUGAUUUUCAUACCUGCACCGCUAGCGGUGUGAAUCUGAUCAUGUCCCUUGUACACCUCCCGCGUGUUGAGUUUCUCCAGUUGACUAGUGAUGUGAUCGGUAGCACCCGUAUCAACAUACCAGUUCGAGUCAGCGCCAUGGCUGUAUGUAGCUGCGGCGACGAGUUUGUCAUCUGGGACGUAGUCUUCGUCAUAGCGAUGCCAGCAAUUUGCAGCAACGUGGCCACGUUUGUAGCACACAUGGCAUAAGGGGCGGCCGUCGUUGCCGCGCUGUUGACUUGAGCCACGCCCACGGCCGGAGCCACGGCCGCGGUUGCUGUUGGUGUUCCGGCCUCUUCCUGCGCCACCACACGAGGAGAAGCCCCCACGGUUUCUGCUGGCUGCAUUCGUCCAGUCCAUUGAGGAUAUAUGCGAUCAGUUCAUCGCUAUCCAUGGACUUGCCUACUGUUGCUAUCUCAUCUGCAAACAAUUUCAUUUUACCAACAUAAUCAGAAACUGAAAGAUUACCCUUCUUCAUAGUGAUGAGGGCCAGCCGCACGUUCAUGGUUUGAGCAUGCGUUUUUGCUGUGAACAUCCGUUGGAUCGUCUUCCAGGCUUCGGCCGCCGUUGCGGCAGUAGCGACUUGCGCUAGCGUUUCCCUCGUCAUGGAGGAAAACAGGAACCCGAGGAACUGCUGAUCCGCGGCAAUCCAUUCGUCAUGCGCUGGAUUGGAGAAUUUGACCUCCUUUCCUUCCACCGUCUUGCUGAGUUGUGCGGCAGGUACUGCCGUUUCGCCGGUGAUGUGACCCUCCAGGCGUGCGCCACGAAUCACCGUGAGAACCUGCGCUCUCCAGAGCGCAUGAUUCUGCUUGCUCAAUUUCUCGGAGACUUGAACCCCGAAUAGCGGAUUGGAAACUGCGGUAGAGGAGGAGCUGGCCAUCUAGAUUGAAUUGGUUUUCUCUCGCUCUGAUACCAUGUAAAACAGCGAAAGUGAGAUGGGUUGAACGUCGCCCUUUGUUUCGGUGCGACGGCUGCGUGUUAUAUUGGCGUACCAAUCGGCGCUGAGAUUACAGGAUUAUAUAGCCUCUAAUCUAGCCCAGAUUUGAUCUAAAGGAUAUACAUCUUAUCUAAACUAACAAUCUAAAUCUCAGCUAGAUCAGUUAGGCAAGAUAUACAUUAAUACAUGCAUGUUGUUUAACAGAACAAUGUUUUUUAUGACAUUCUGCUCCCUACUCGCUCCGGCCCCUCCACCAGCCUGCUGGCUGCUGCUGCUCGCUCCCGUGGCACCGCCAGCCUGCUACACUGCUCCUCUUGCAGUCCCGCUAGCGUGCUCUCGCGGCAUCGCGCCGCCGUCAGCCUGCUGCUCGCGCAGUCGUGUCGUCGCGUGCUCCGACGCUCCGCGGCUUGGCUGCCGGCUGCCGCAGUGCCGCUCGCAGCCUUGCGCCAAUGCGCCAUCGCUCGCUGGCACUGUGCGCCGCGGUGCUGCUAGCCAGCCCGCGCUCGUGCGGUAGCGCCGUCACACAUUCCGUGCACGGCGCCGUUAACUUGUCGGCGCCGCUCGCUGCCUGCCUGCCUAAGCUACCUCGAUUAGUUGGAUUUGGAAGCUAGGGUUUGCCAUUGGGAAUGGGGAUUGGGGGUUGGGCGGAGCAUAGAGAGCUAGAUGUGGGUCUAUGUGAGUGAGUUCAAAGCCCAAUAGGCAAUAGGCAAUUUUUAUGCCCUUGGCUGCCUGGCACAAUUAUGCGGAUCGUUGGCCCAAUACGCGGUUUCUCCAACCUCUAGCCAUCCGGAGACCUUCAGCACCCUACCUUAUCAUCCAUGGUGAAAAAAUUGAAGGGGGAACUCAGGGGGGUAUCCAUGUGUACGGUGGGUAUAGUCCCCCCUGCAUCCAGGUUGAAUCCGCCUCUGCCAAGUGCCAACGCGGCUCGAUUGGCUCCUCCGUCUACUUCAUCUGCCGCUGCCGCCACCGCCUCCCCUCAUCUGCCGCUGCCACCGCCCCUAGUAGCACCCUGGACUCGUUCUUUUCGUGUGACCUUCUCCACCGAUAAUGGAUUAUUGGUUUGGUUGUUUCGUUGUUUCGUGUCAUCAAUUUGAGGUCUAGUUGGAUGGGUGGAUUGGUUGGUUGAUUAGUUUUCAAGAGGGAAUGAGGUCUUGGAAGCCAUGGUGCCAGCCGAGAAAAGAAGCGUCGCCACUGUAUCACACUACUGCAGGACAGGGUUAUAGUAACACGUCUUUGUGCUACUAUAUCUCCAGAAACGUGUUACUGAGGAUUCUAGUAACACAACUGAUAUGUGUUCUUGUUGGCCGUGUUACUACACAUGGAUCCUUGUAGCACAUAUAAGUGUUCCAAUUGAUAAGAAUAGGUGUUACAAGUUUUUAGCUAGGAACACCUUUGUUUAUCUCCUGUAACACAACGCCCUGUGUUGCUACAUAGUCGAGUAAAACAAAAUUUUGGCACUAGUAACACAAGUACAAAUACAAGUUCUCAAGAAAGUAGUAAAACCAUUUUUAAUUGUAGCAGCACAUUAAUAGCAUGAUUAGCAAUAUAGUUUAAGAAAUCAUUGCUUGUUGCUGCUAUAUAUUAAAAUAAUUAUUAGAAAUCUUUAUUAUGCACCAUACGUUUGUUGACUUAUUGCUUACAUUGAAGUAUACUGUUAUAUACAUCUACAGGGAACAUGCACAAUACAAAAACCAAAUUCUAGUGCUCAAAUCAAAAUAUAUAACUAUUUCUAUAUUCUUCAUGCAUCUUUGCAUGCCGCUUGUCCCAUGGUGACUUGAUGAGGCAAUCAGCUGAACAACCAUUUCUUAUUGAGUUCAACUUGUCAUCUACUUUUAAGUGUGCACACACACCUCGCAUGCUAUGCAAGUACCUGUAGUUGAGAAACACGAUAUUUAGCUAUUAGCCAUUAGAAAUUAAUGUGCAUUAUAAAUAUUAAGCAGAUAAAUGAACAAAAGCAUUCAGUGCACAUCCUGUUGAAUCAAAUGAUAAUAUCUAAGGCAUGUAUAGCUACAGUUUUAAACAUUGUUUUGGUUAAAAUAUCACGGAUGCUCUGUUUCUCACAAAAUCUCAAGAGUAUAGUCUAGAAAACAAUCAAGAAGCCUGAUUGAACAAAGAAAAGAAAAGCUUAAAAAUAAAUUCUAGUGGUCUCAGCAACAAGACCAUUGAUUUCCUUGGAAUGAGAAUUAGGGGUUUAUUUUUAUCAACAUUGACUUCAUGAAGUAGAGAUUUAAGAUCAUAGCAGAGUAUUUCUAAUUUGUAAUGCAAAGCAUUGAACUAGUUACUAGUUAUAUGAUGUACACAAAAUUGAAUUAAAACUAUUUCAUGAUUAGAGUAUACAGGCCGUAACUAUACCUUGAUGCAUGUUUUCCAUAUAUCUGUAUAUAAUUUGCAUUACAAACAUAAAUGUUUACUUUAUCUGAACCUCUGAAUUAGAACCUGAAGAAAUAACAGCGCUCUGAAAAAAAAAAUACAACCAUUAGUCAAGAAAAUAAAUGGAACCGAAGAAAGUACUACAAAACCAGAUAUCACUUAAGAAAACACAAGCACUUGCCAAUUCUGUUUGUACCAUCAUUGUGGUCAAUCACUAUCAUUUCAUAAAAGCAAGUUCCAUAAAAGAUUGGUUCAUUUCCUCAGUUAAAAAAUCUGAUACAUUUCAGCAUAUUCCAAUUUAGCCAAAAAAGUAAUAGCCAAAUUCAGAAGUUAAUAUCACACUCAACAUCUAGAAGUCUCAGUUUUUCCAGCAAUAUAAACAACUCCAGAGGGCAAGUACUCUAGAUAUUCUCUAGAUAUUCUCUUGUAAGCAUAUAUUUGUCAUACAGAGUAUAGAUAUUGCUGCUUUACCAAAUCACAGCUUCCUUCUAUGACAAUGAAGAUUAGAAACAGCAGAGCCA
This 60988-nucleotide long non-coding RNA is filed under the name Oryza sativa (Asian cultivated rice). Its description in RNAcentral is "long non-coding RNA (OSAT_LNC001826)". Lineage: Eukaryota; Viridiplantae; Streptophyta; Magnoliopsida; Poales; Poaceae. The record is from RNAcentral.